UUCGUUUUAACCACAUAAUCUAUCUAUCUCUCACCUAUUGCUUACUUAAAUCUCAUGCAUAUUUUACCUACUAAUUUUUAUAAAUAUUAGUCAAAUAUAUUUUAUUACGUUUCUCUCGUAACUGCUCCAAAUGUGUACUAUUAAUACUUAACCCUCCCUUACCGUGCAAUCUAUCUAUAUUUUACCUAUAUUUUACCCCAAAAAAUAUAUAAAUAAAAGAAAAAUAAUAUGUGGCCAUUUGCAUAUAACUAACAAAGCAUUGACGGCGUGUAGCCUUUCAAUACUUCACGAGUGGCUUUUCUUGUGUGUUAGUACUUGUAAUAAUUGUGUAGCGUAUAAAUGACAUUUUAUUAUUAAAGUGCGUCCAUUUUUAGAUAUUACUUAUUAUUUGAAAAAUAAUCUGAAUAUAAUUCUUUUAAAAUACAGGGAAGAUACCACCUGAAAUUGGUAAUCUCCGAAAUCUGGAGCGGUUGGGCCUUGGUCUCAACAAAUUAAUUGGUACUGUCCCAGCUGCAAUCUUUAAUGUGUCAACACUCAAAUCUCUUGAGCUUCAAGAUAAUUCUCUCUUUGGAAGUAUUUCGUCCAUCAUAGAUGUCCGACUACCAAAUCUUGAAAGGCUACUUUUGUGGGGUAAUAAUUUUAGUGGCACAAUUCCUCGCUUCAUCUUUAAUGCUUCUAAGCUCUCUAUACUAGAGUUUUCAAAAAAUUCAUUCUCCGGUUUUAUUCCCAACACAUUUGGCAACUUAAGAAACCUUCAGAAGCUGAGAUUAUAUGAUAAUUAUUUGACAUCUUCAACUCCAGAAUUGAGCUUUCUAUCCUCUUUGUCAAAUUGCAAGUCUUUAACACAUAUUGGCUUAUCAAAUAAUCCACUAGAUUGCAUUCUUCCUAAGACGUCUAUCGGAAAUCUUUCUCAUUCUUUGGAAGAUUUUAAAAUGCACAAUUGUAACGUUAGUGGUGGCAUCCCUGAAGAGAUAAGCAACCUGACCAACUUGACAACCAUUGAUUUAGGAGGCAAUAUGUUGAAUGGAUCAAUUCCAAUUACUCUCAGCAAAUUACAGAAGCUUCAAGGUCUGCGUUUUGAAGAUAACAAAUUAGAAGGAUCAAUCCCUGACAGUAUUUGUCGUUUGACUGAACUGUAUGAGUUGGAGUUGGGUGGCAAUAAGCUUUUUGGAUCAAUCCCUGCAUGCUUCAGUAAUCUGGCUUCUCUGAGGAUACUGUCGUUGGGUUCCAAUGAGUUAACUUCUAUUCCCUUAACUUUUUGGAACCUUAACAAUAUCUUGUACCUCAACUUUUCUUCAAAUUUUUUUACUGCUCCACUCCCAUUAGAGAUUGGAAAUUUGAAGGUUUUGGUUGGAAUGGAUUUUUCGAUGAAUAACUUUUCAGGCGUUAUCCCAACAGAAAUUGGAGGCCUAAAAAAUCUAGAAUAUCUCUUCUUAGGAUAUAACAGAUUGCAAGGAUCAAUUCCUGAUUCAUUUGGUGACUUGAUAAGUUUGAAAUCCUUGAAUUUGUCUAAUAAUAAUCUCUCUGGGGCUAUUCCUGCAUCUUUAGAGAAACUCUCAUAUCUUGAAGAUCUAAAUCUUUCUUUCAACAAGCUGGAAGGAGAAAUUCCUAUGGGAGGAUCUUUUGGAAACUUCUCAGCUGAAUCAUUUAAGGGAAAUGAAUUAUUAUGUGGUUCACCCAAUUUACAAGUCCCGCCAUGCAAAACUAGCAUCCACCGCACAUCAUGGAAAAAUUCUCUUCUCCUCGGGAUUGUGUUGCCAUUAAGUACUGUAUUUAUGAUAGUAGUCAUUUUGUUGAUCCUAAGAUAUCGACAUAGAGGAAAACGGCCAUCGAAUGAUGCUAGUAUGCCACUAGUAGCAAUGUGGAGAACAUUUUCAUACCUAGAACUCUGUCAAGCAACAAACGAAUUCAGUGAAAACAAUCUAAUCGGCAAAGGGGGUUUUGGCUCUGUUUACAAGGCAAGACUUGGGGACGGGAUGGAGGUUGCAGUGAAAGUUUUCAAUUUGCAAUGUGGAAGAGCAUUGAAGAGUUUCGAUGUUGAAUGUGAAAUGAUGAAAAGUAUUCGCCAUCGAAACCUUAUCAAAGUUAUUAGCAGUUGUUCAAAUGAAGAGUUUAAAGCGUUGGUAUUAGAAUACAUGCCUCAUGGAAGUUUGGAGAAGUAUUUGUAUUCAAGUAACUGCAUUUUGGAUAUUUUUCAAAGAUUGAACAUAAUGAUAGAUGUUGCAUCAACUUUGGAAUAUCUGUACUUUGGUCAUUCAGCUCCAAUAAUUCACUGUGACUUAAAGCCAAGCAAUGUAUUGUUAGACGAUAAUAUGGUUGCUCAUUUGAGUGAUUUUAGCAUCGCAAAAUUGCUAACAGGAGACGAUCAAUCUAUGACUCAAACACAAACAUUUGCCACAAUAGGCUAUAUGGCACCAGGUUUGUCAAUAAAAAAAUUUUCUAUUUCUUGUAAACUUCCUAAUAAGUUGUUUAUGUUUCAUGAUCUUCAUUAGAUGAGGAAAUUCUUAUUGAUGAUAUAUCUUACUAUGUAACUAUUGCAAUUCAUAGAGUAUGGAAGAGAAGGACGAGUAUCCGCAAAUGGAGAUGUUUAUAGCUUCGGGAUUAUGUUAAUGGAAACUUUUACUGGGAAGAAACCCACAGAUGAAAUUUUUAACGAAGAAAUGACAUUAAAGCAAUGGGUUAAUGAUUGGCUACCCAUUUCCACAAUGGAAGUUGUUGAUGCUAAUUUGCUUAGUCCGGAGGACGUACAUUUUGUUGCAAAGGAGCAAUGUGUGUCAUUUGUCUUCAAUUUGGCUAUGGCGUGCACUGUGGAAUCUCCUGAGCAGAGAAUCAAUGCGAAAGAAAUUGUAACAAAGCUCUUAAAAAUUAGAGGCUCAUUACUUAGAAAUGUUGGAGGCAGAUGUAUAAGACAAUCAAAUUUAAAUUAAUUCUGCCCCUCCAUUGCUUGCUAUCCUUUUCAAAGACUUGAACGGUUAAACUUCAUACCAGUUUUGUUGAUAUGUUUUGUUAUUGCUCUUGCUCAUGUUUGUUUCUCUAUUUCUUUAAUUUGCAUGCAUGUAUUUUUCGUUCUCUUUUAUGUUUUUGUUAGUUUGUAUGUAGUUUGUUUUUAGGGGUAAGGUUGAUUAUGUCCUCCCCUAAUUAGACGUAUCCUUUUUAUUUUUAUUCAAUAAAGCUUCUCUAAUACUAUCGAGGUUCAUCAACAGAAAAUUUUAAAUUAAUUUUCUUUUCUAUGUUAGAUAAUGAAAUUCUAAUCUUCAUAGUGAAUAACUUCAAUAAUAGAGUGUAAGAGUAUUAGUAGUUAUGGUUGUUUUCUGAACCUGAAGUCAAGAGCAAUUUAACAGCAACAAACAAGUCUCUUGUAUUAUAGGCAAAAUUCUUUUCAUUAAUCUUAUUUGUCUACAUAUUCUCCUAUUUUCUCCAUUAAUCUUCGCUCAAAGUUUCAUGCUUCCUCUUUGAUAAAGGAAAAUAUUACUCGUGAAUAUUUCAAAUUUUCAAUUUGACAUGAGCGACUGUUUGCCAGCCAUUUGAUAAAAUGGAUAUGAGUGGAGUUUUCAAUCAUUACCUCCUCCAAAAUCCUUACAACACCACUUUUUAAUUUUAUUUUUUAUAAUCCAUUCAGUUUAAUUUAAAAAAAUAAAUCCAUUUGUGGAAUUUAAUCUUUUUCUCAUAAAUUUCAACCUAAAAAAUAUAUUUCUCUUAAAUUUUUAUUACAAAAUAUUUACAAGUUCUAAACUAUUAAAUUAUUUUCUUCUUAUUAUAUAGUUUAUAUCUCCAUAACUCUAAACUCCUAUAAUUUUUUAAAAAAAUAUUUUUUAAUUUAAAAUAUAAAUAUAAAAUAUAGAAUGGAGUGAGAAUAAAAAAACUUGUUAAAAGAAUAAUUCAUUUAAGUAUUUAACUGAAUUUUAAAUUAAAAUAAGAAAUAAAUUAAUUUAUUUUUAUUAGUUAAGUAAUUUUCAAUUGAAAAAAAGCUUUUAGUAAUAUUAUUGAAAUAUGAUUAAAAUUCUUAUGAAUUAAACAUUUCGUAUAAAUACUAGUGAUAAUUACAGAGAAAGUAUGAUGAAGUGAAAAAACUUAAAUAUAAAUACUCUAGUAUAAUUUUACACAUGCAACUUAUGAACCAGUGAUCUUUAGAGCAUCAUAAAAUUGUUUUAACACAAUUAAUUGGUUUGAAAAAUUGCCAAUAAUGUCUACAAUGGGAUUUAAAAGAUUAAACUACAUAUAUAAGACAUGAUAUCAUUUAAGACGGCUUACAGAUUAUGAGAAAUAUUUUGAUCUUCCAAAUAUUUAAAAUGUCAAUUAGACUGAGUCUAUGCAAUGAAAAUUUCAAAUAAAAAAUAAACCCUUUUUUUUCUUUUAAUCAUAAGUGUGAUCUUAAUCAUUAAAGUCAUUUAAUGUCCAUUACUUAUUCAUUUUUUUAAUUACCUAAAUGACAUUGAAAACUCUACUCAAUAUUAAUUCAUUCAAAUGUUUUGUUUUAAGGUAAUCAGAAACUGCAAAUGAAACAAAUGCUUGAAAUCACAAACGGCCUAAAAUUAGAUUUUCAUUUUUCAAUGUUGCAGUGACUUUGAUCUUGAUAUUGAAAAUUUAUUUGUAACUUAUAUAAAUGCCUCAAUUUUAUCAUAAUUGGUUAGUAAGGCUACGUAGGGAGCAUGGAUAAAUUUUGGGAUUGGAUUAUAUUUUUGGAACUAAAAAAUUAAUUUCAUCCAAUGUUAUAUUUGGCUGUCAGAACUAGCAACUUAGUCUAAAAUUAUUGAAAUUAUUAAUCUUUUAUAUUAUAAUCUUUUCGUUCCCACUUUAAAUAUUAUUGGUAGCUUAAAUCAUUUUUUAAAAUUAAAUAUAAAAAUUAAUUUAAUUAAAUAUAAAAAUCAUUUAAAUUAAAUAUUAACAUUAAUUCAUAAUUUUUACCUAGAAUUUUAUACUAUAUUAAAUACUAAAAUUAUAUUCGAUAAUGUAUUAUCAUUUAUUUAAUAAAUGUUUAGGUUUUAGUAUGUUAUAUUAUUAUUUAAAUUAAUUUUUUAUUUACAUAUAAACAUAAAUUAUUAUUUACUAAUUUAAAUUUAUUAUAAUUAGUUAAAUAAUAAAACAUAAAUGAUUAUGUUGAAAAUAUAAAUAGUAUUCUAAUGUAUUAUAGUCUAAAUCUUACCCCUAUGAGAUUAUUUUAUACACCUUUUAUUAUAUUAACCACAUUUAUAAUGCAGUGCAAUGUAACAAAAAAUUAUAACCAAAUAUGAGUUAGCAUGAAAAUAAUAUUUUAGUGCAAUAUAAUACAAUGUAAUGUAAGCUAACAAAUGGAUAUUUAAUGGAAGCAAAAAUUGCAUAUGGCUUGUGGGUCUCUUAAAAGACAAUGAAUAAACCAAUAUGAUACACUGAUUCUGUCAUCUUUAAUGAUGUCUUUACUAAAUGGGAAUCAGAAUAAGUUAGAAUUGGAAUGAGCUUGAAUCGAAAUAAGGAAUUAUAAUAAAAAUGAAUUGUUUAUUUAAUUUGUAUGAAUCAGAAUCGGAAUAAAUUUUACUCAAAUUAAUAUGUUUAUUUUCUCUUAAAAUUAUAAUGCACUAUUACAAGUUACUAAAAAAAUCAUUUGGUAAUUGUUGUCUCUACUACCACUACUACUACCACGACUACUACUACUACUACCACUACCACUACCACUACUACUACCACUACCACUACCACUACUACUACCACUACCACUACUACUACCACUACCACCACUACGACUACUACGACUACUACUACCACUACUACCACUACCACUACCACUACUACCACCACUACCACCACUACCACGACUACCACUACUACCACUACUACCACGACUACCACUACUACUACAGUCUCUCAUUUUCUAUUUCUAAUUUGAUGUGGGUCUUAUUAUUUGGAUUCUAAUUCUUAUAUUUAUUUGUGAGACAAAAUUAUGGUGCAACUGUAGUACCAUUGGAUCCAGCUACAGUUAUCAUCAUGACUUGAUAUAAUGAUUAAAAGUAAUUGUGGUAUAGUACCAUAGUUGCACCAUAACUGAACAUUUAUUUAUGAAGUAAAAUGAUGUUAAUAAUUUCGAUUUCCAAUUCGAGAAGUAAACACAUUAUAAUAUUUUUUUAGAUGCUUCUAUGCCAUAAUCUCAUUGGUCCAUUUUUCUUCACGCCUUAGAUUCAACUUCAAGAUUCAAGAUUCAAGAUUCAAUUUGAAGCAAACACAACUACAAAACAAAUAUAAUAAGCGUUAAUAAGCCUGUGGCUGACUGGCUGUGGCCAAGCAAAUGUACUACCUCAUAGUGAUUAGUGACCGUAUCAUAUCUUAUUAUCUUACGCCAGAAGCUAAACAAUGUUCCCAUUCCACGUGUCACUCUCUGACCAAUCCCCGAACUUUCUUCAUAUUUCCAAAGAAACCCUCACCAAGUCAGGAUAAUUACCUUCACUCUACUCAUAUAAAUACUGUCCUCCAUUCAACUGAUGUCUGAUAACGACAUAUCCUUAGUCUUUAUUUAAAAGGGGAAAUUAUAAAAAAUUCUCCUCGUUCCCUGACAAUCUAGGGUUUCUCAAGAAUCGCUAAACCUAGGUCCCAAUCCUUCAAAAUCUCAAUUUAACCUCUCUAGGGUUUCAAUUGUCGAGGAUUCGCUUCAAAAUUUAGUAUUUUUUAGGGGAUUUUGCUUGUCUCGUAUCCUUCAAUUGUUGUUCGGUUCUGAAAAUAAUUUGGAAUUUUAGGGAUUUUCAGAUUAUUUGGUUUUGCUUGAGCGCAAUUUCCUCUAGUUACGGUUUCAGUUUGAAGGGUUAAGUGCGAUUUCGAAUAUUUUUAUAAAACUAAAAUUAAAAUUCAUAAAACGAUUGGGCGUUUAAUAAUUAAUUGAUGGCUAGCGAUACUACAACGGCGGCCGCAGCUGCGGAAGAAGCAGAGGCGGUGGAGGAGUAUGAUAGCGAUCCAGAUGAAGUGAAACGCUCUCUUGCGAUGCGCAGAAGGGAAGCCAGCGAUGAGGAGGUUGAGGAGGAUAAAGAUUCAGAGCUUCCAAUAGUUCAAAGUGUCCACAUUCCUGCGGGAAGCCGAGGCUGUGGAUGAGUAUGAGAGCGAUCCAGAUGAAGUGAAACACUCUCUCAUUAUGCGCAGAAGGGAAACAAGCGAGGAUGAUGAGGAGGAGACAUAAUUUGAGCGUCGAAUGAAUUGAAGGGUCCAUAUUCACUCUUACAUUGAAUCUGAUGGCCAAGGUGGUGCUCCAGCUGAGUAUGAUGAUGAAGAAGAAGAAGAGGAACAUGACAGAGAAUUAGAAGAAGAAGAUGAAGAAGGGGAUGUUUAUGAGGCUGUAGAGGAAGAAGAAGUUUAUGAAGAAGAGGAGAGGAAUGAUGGGGCGGUUAAAGUCAAAGGAAUAGAGGGUAAUGAUGCAUGAGGAGUACGGAGGGUGCAGUGGAAGUGAGUAAAGGGAAUAAUGAUAAUCGCAAUGGUGCUAAAAGAAUGAUGCAGCAGAGGAGGGAAUGGAGGAAGAGAAGAAGGAGAGUAAUGAGCCUUUUGCACAGCAGCUGGGGCUUUUUAUAUGGGACAAUGUUGCAGGUCGACACAGGUAUUAUUUGAUUUGAGUGACAAUUUAUAAAUAGCUAAUAGCUAUGGGACAAUGUUGCAGGUCGACACAGGUAUUAUUUGAUUUGAGUGACAAUUUAUAAAUAGCUAAUAGCUGUACUUUCAUUAGGGCUUGUCAAUUAAUCCAGUCUCGAGUUUUGGUGCUGUAUAAUGAUUGUUUGCUGGAAUCUGUGUAGAAGGCUUUUGGCCUAGUAGGUUGAAAGGAGAGAAAGUUCUCAAAUAAACAUCUGUGCUUUGUGAAAUAUAAUUAAUAGGUACAAAGCAUACUAAAUUACUUGACAGAUAGAUGCCGAGCUAAUCAUGGGCUAUGAUAGCAUUAUCCGUGCUUUCUGUAUUUUUAAUAGGGCUUGUCUAUUUCAAAGUGUGUAGUGUAGAAUUUUUGGGUUUAGUUUGAGUGAUGAAGUGUUAGAUAGGUUUCUGUUUGGCAUAGUUAAGUGGUUAAUACGAGCUAUUGAAGCAAAUAUGGAGUAGGAUAUCUAGUUUUGGGUUUGGUCUUAGUUUGAAGAUGGCUACUGAUUAUGCAGCUAGGUACGUAUUAGUGUUUGUGGAUUGCUAAAUGCUUUCUGUCAAAUGUGAGUAGAUUAUUACUUGAAGUGCAUGGAUCUUACACUUAAUUAAUUAUAUAUCCAUUUGUAAUGUUCAAAAUGAUCAUGUACUAUUGCUUAAAAUUAUGUUUUCAAGCCAUGGUUGUAAUGUGUCUCUAAAUUCAGUAAUACAAGUUCUGUCAAUUGCUGUCGGAUGGCAGUGACUUGAAUAGUUUAAUGUUCAUUUGCAGACAAAAUUUGAGAAAGAAAACUAAAAAUUUCUGUGCGUUCUGCUGGAAAUUUAAUUAGCUUCAUUUGAGCAUUAAUUGCUGGCAUUAUCUCUUAGAUUUCUCUUGCAUUGAAUGAAUGGAUGAGUGCUAAUCCAUGCAAAGACUCCCAUGCAUACACAAUGAAUGCUUCAUCAAAGGUAUGGUAAAAUGUCAACACGCUUGGCCCAAAUUAUCAAGCUGGUGUGGUGGCUGCUAGAUUUGUUCAUCCGGAUUUUGGACCAUUUUCAUUGACAAUGAGAAAAGCUGCAAGAUCUGUAAAUCGGAAACUCAUUGAAGUGCCAAAAGAGAGAUGGAAGUGAAUAACAAGAGAGUUAGUGAAGAGAGGGUGCAGUGAUUGUGUGGGAAGCUUUGGGUUUACUUGGGGUUUGGAUGUGAGAUAAAAUAAUUUGAGAGAGAGGUUGUAACAAUUUUUCGGUAAUAGAGUUUUUCAGGUAACUCUUGUGUUGUGUGCUUAGAGUAUUCUCUAUUGUAUUUUUUUUUUGUUAUUUAUUUGACGUAUUGCUAGCGGAGAUCUUGGGUGGGAACCAAAAAUUCCCAACAAUUGUCAAUUGUUUUAAACUCUAUUUCGAACAGAGCAUGAAGGGAUUCACUUAUCUGAUUAUGUCUUUUAUGCUUUAACUUCACUUGAUUUCAUCUUGUCUGUCACCUUUAUUAAAGUUGUAUAUGUUGGAGUAUUAGGUUCAUCACAGGGAUCAUAUUAUGGCUAAGGAAGGGGCACAGUUUAUCAGCUGCACUCAAGUGUAGCAGAGUAUUUGGAUUCAAGACUGUUAGAAGGUUGUUACAAUGCAAGGCUGUUGCUGUGUAACUGUAUGCCAUUCUCGCAAGUGCACUCUUAACAGAUUGCUGAGCUGGCACCGGAUGUUUUUAGCUAAUAUUAGUUAUUGGUCUAGAGUGUUCUGAUUUAUUCUAUAAAUAGCUCAUUUGAGCUUAGAACCUUUAUAGUGUAUCAUACGUUUCUGUUUCUUCUAAUAACGAUUUUCUCUAUUCCUUUUUCUUUCACUUUCUCUUUCAUUUUCAUGAUCCCCAAACACCAUCAAUCCAUGAUUUUCUAGAGUAUUAGUUGUCUAUUUCUACAAACAUAGAAUUGUUGUUUUAAGAAACAAAGUACUCUGUCCUGUCACCCGCGGUCUUCUUGUUUAUCGACUUGUGAACAGGGCUAAAUAAACGGCAAAUAAGAUAUUGGGUCAAUGGGUCUAACAUGACAAGAUAUUGAAUUAUUGCCCUUUUCUUGUCUCCACAAAUUUUUGGUAAAUUUUUAGGUUCCCUCAACUUUUUUCCCCUUUAGCACUAAAAUUCAUUUUUGAUACUUUAUGCAAAAAUUAUGAUGAAAAUGAGUCACUUUAGAACAUCAAUAAAUUUUUAUUUUUACAUCCAAGAUGACGAUAGUUACACUUAGAUCACUCUCAUUUAGUUGAAUUAUAUAGGUAAUAAAGUUGGCUUAACAAAAUAUGAUUCUUAACUGUUGUAAUUAAGGGUUAGUAUUCUUUGGUUUUAGUUGUAGGGCUUAUAAUGCUGUGGCUCAGUUCUUGGUGGGUUCGAAUUAUUAGACGAUCAUUCUCAAUUCUUUACGAUUCAUAAUUAAAAAUUCCUAUAUCACAAUUAGAACUUACAAACAAGUCAAAGUGGGUUAAAUCUUAUGUAUAAAUUUGAGGUCUAUUACAAACUUUUAAAAAAGAUUUUUACCAUAUAAAAAAAUACUAUUCCAAAAAAAAUUGAAAAUCCAACCAAUUGAAUCGGUUCAGUGUCACUCAAAAUGUGUGUGUGUGUAAAACAACACAAUUAUCAUAUUAAUGAGGCACUGUUAAAUUCAUUCAAUGAAUAUUUUUCCUUUUCAUUUUCAAUGAAUGCUUAAAAUGACAAACAAUCGCUUGUUUUACAAUUCUUUUAUAUAUCUUUGAAACUUUCAGCUUCCCAACACAUCAUAUUGUUCUCAAUUCGUCUAAAUUAUUAUUAUUUUUUUUCAAACACUGCAGCAACAACCAGUAUAAAAUAGAAUAAACUCAUUUAAUGGAAAUUUUCCUAGAGGCUUUCAUGGCAGAAUCUCAUUGGUCUAUUUCUCUUCGCACCUUAGGUUCCUCUAACAAACCUACCUCUUAACUCUCAUGUCCGAAUUUAAACUUAAAAGAUGUUCCCCGUCCCACGUGUCCCCAAAUAUUUGUAUUUCCAAACAAACCCCUGCCAACUAAGUCAAGUGAUAGGAUGGCUUUUAUUACAAACUGUAUGAACGUUAUGGCCAUGGGACAUUGGAUAAAACUAAUGGAAUGUAAAGCAAAAUUACCGAUUAAACUAAAUUGAAAAUCCAACCAAUUGAAUCGGAUCAGUGUCACUCAAAAUAUGUGUGUGGUGGUGUGUGUAAAACAACACAAUUAUCAUAUUAAUGAGGCACUGUUAAAUUCAUUCAGCGAAUAUUUUUCUUUUUCAUUUUCAAUGAAUGCUUAAUAUGACAAACAAUCUGUCUCAUUGAGCACUGUUUAAGUCAUUCAAUGAAAAUGAAUACUUCUAUAACAAAACAAUAAUUCCCUUAUUUAUUUGACACGCAAAGAAUUUUCUUGCUCAGCUCGGCGGCCAAUCCUUUAAAAUUUGUUAAAAUUCAGUUAAUUGAUGAACGAGACAUAACCCAAUAAAUCGUUUAAUUUGUAUAAUUGAUAAAAAUUUAAACUUCAAACAAUAUAGAUAGAAUGAAUAAUGUUUUUCAAUAUUUAGAUAAUUUAUAUAUGUCAUGUUACUAUGAGUAAAAGAAUGAAGUGUAUGAUAGAAAACAUAAUGUUUAUGUUUGUAUUAAAAAUUCUAGGUGCAAAUCUAUUUAGUGUAGGUUAGACAUAAAAAUAGUUACCAAGUUGUCUUGUUUCUCAUUUUGUUUAAUUUUCCUAAUUUGAAUAACUAUUAAUUAUGAGUCAAGGGUUUAUUGUAAAAAUAUGGUCUUCCAUUUACUAUAAAAAGAUUAGCAUGAUUUAAUUAUUUUUCUUUUUGCUUGGUGUCUGUAAAAUUAUGAAUACUUUGGUAAAUAAGAUAAUUAUAAAUACCAUUUUGAAAACCCAUGGCCAUGGUUGUGAUGUAUCUUUAUCAAUCACGGAUACAAAAAUUAAUCAAAAUUAUCGAUUGAUUACUUUUUAUACUUUGACUUCACUUAAUACAGCUUCUUCCUCUUUUAACUGUAUGCCAUGCCGGCAAGUGUAUUGUACAGAUUACUGAGCUAGCACCGAUAACUAAGCUAAUUAUUAGGAAUCAAUCUAGAGCGUACCUGUAAAUACAAUAGGUUGCUUAGGUGGCACCAAUAUACUAACUUUAUGCCGUGUUUCUGGUGUGUCUUCACAAAUUCACCGAUAAAAAUUAAUUUCUACCAAUAUUACCAAAUGAUUGUAUUUUACGUUUCUAUUUACUUGUAAUAAAGAUCUUCCAUGUGUAUAUAAGUGUUGAUUUUAACUGAUAGCUGAUAGCUGUAUUUUCAUGGUCAUUCAAUUUUAUUGGGUACAAAAUUCUCUAGGAUUGCAUGUACAUUAUACUUUUAUAUACAUAUUUUCUUCUUUCUCAUUCGUUUUCUGGGUGAACAUAUUAUUUUCGUCAUCAUCUCUAUAACAAUCAAGUAAAAAUAGUCCUCAUUUAAAGUAUUGGCAGCAAUGUUAUACUCAAUAUAACGUAUAAAGCACGCAUAAUUUACUCAAUGGGGCAGCUGCUAGUACCUUCUUUAGAAGAGAAUUAUUGCAGCAAGUUAAUUGGAAGCUCAAAGAGUUUCCGUAUUAGCCGAAUCUAAGCGAUAAGUGUUUCCAUGUGAGCCAUAAUUUGGGAAAAAGACCAAUUCGAGUUAAAGAUCAGAAAACAAACAGUGUCAACAAGCAUUAAUGUCAUUUGAUGCAUGAAAGACAAUUAAUCCCAUUUUUUGUCCUGUUUACUUGGCUUGGGCAAUUUGCCGUCAACUUUUCUCAUCCACGUCAGGUAAUGUGGCUUUUAUUUGGUAUGAAAAAGGCAAUGCUUUACGAUAAAACUAUCACACACAUAUUAUCCAUCUGUAAUGUUCAAAUGACACUGAAGUAUUGCCUAAAUUAGCCUUUCAAAAAUUUAUUUUCAAAAACCCAUGGUUGUGAUGUGUCUCUAUAAAUUAAGAUCUAUCUAUUACCAACUGUUUUAAUUCUGUUCUGAACAGAGCUUGAAAGGGUACAUUCACUUAUCUAGUUAUGUUUUUUAAGUUUUCACUUUACUUGAUUCACCUUAUCCCUCUUUUUAAAAACAAUUGUUCACUGGCUGCACUCAGUUGACAGAAUAUUUUGGGAUUCAAGACUUGGUUGUUACGGAUGCAACUUGCAAGGCUGUUGCCAUGCUGGCAAGUGUGCUGCUGUAACUGAUUGUUGAGAUGGCACCAAAGAUUGUAAACUAAUUAGUACUGGAAAUUCAUGAGUUUGAUGAUGAAGAGGACGAAAAAUAUUAUUUUAUUAUUUAAAAAUAAGACUAUCAAUUAUUUCCAUGGUCAUCUUAUUUUUUUUUAUUAAUUGGCCUAAAUAUUGUAUUUUUUGUCAGGAGUCUUGCAAUGCUGCGUAGCACCGUAAGUAAGAAGAAACGUGUCUAAGGUUGCCACGUGUUGUCUCAACAUCUGUGUGAAAACCGAAUUAACCAGUUUGCGUUCGACAACAAAGGAAAAUGCUUCUUGUUGCUGACCGAUUGCUAAGUAUUUCAAUACCUCCACCAAAAUCUUUAUAACACCCUUUUUAAUUUUAUUUCUGAAGAGUAAUGAUAUAGUCAUAAAUUCUUGUACAAACUUAUUUUGUACAAACUGACGUGGCAUGAUAAGAUUGGCUGAAUUAAAUAUCACUUGGCCCACAUGAUUUGUUUUUAUUAUUUUAUAUUUUCAUUCAACCAAUGAAUUAAUGCCAUGUUAGUUUGUACAAAAUAAGUUUGUACAAGAGUUUGUGGCUGUAUCAUUACUCUUUUCUAAAAUACACUUAGUUUAAAAAAAAAAGAGCUUUAUGAGAAAUUUUCAGUGUGUCAAAAGGCCUACUUAAUGGACUGGAUCCCGACUCAUUAAUUUUAUAACCCGACUUACAAUCCGACUCAUUAUUCACAGAGAUUAAUUUUCUAUUGCUUAAGGCACAAUAUUUACUAAGCAAUUUAUCGGCAAUAAAACAUGUAUAUUAUAGUGGUUUGUAAUAAAAUUGGAAGAAGACAUCACGUACGAAUUGGAUUUAUCCCAUGAAAUUUGAUUAACGAAAGUGUAUGAAAAUCUAUAAAGAAAAUAGUAAAAACAAUUGUUGUGUAAAUGCUGUAUAGGUGAUAUAUUACUUUUAUAAUCCAUCAAGGUACAUUUGAUUUUAAUGAUGAAACAAAUACAAAUAAAUCCAUGUAUGUCAAUGCUAGAUGGUUCCAUAUUAAACUUGUGAAGUAUAGAAAAUAAGCGAGAUUCGUAAAAAAAUAUUUUAGAUAAUACCACUGAAAAGUUAUAAAAAUAUUUAAAAAAAAAAAGAAAUACAUACUUGAGACACCAAGACUGAUACGCACAAACUCACACAUUUACAUAUUAAUUGAGGGAAAAAAAUAAUAUUCUGAGUAAUAUUGUUGACAUAUGAUUAAAAUUCUUUUUAAUGAAACAUUUUCGUAUAAAUACUAGUGAUAUUUGUACAGAAAGUAGAAUGAAGUGAAAAAAAAAACUUGAAUAUAAAUGCUCCAAUAUAAUUUUUCCCAUGCCAAUUAUGAACUAGUGAACUUUAAAGCAUCAUAAAAUUGUUUCAACAUAAGUAAUUAGUUUGAAAAAUUGCCAAUGUGGGAACGAAAAGAUUAUAGUAUACGAGACACGAUAUUAUUUAAGACAACUUAUAAAUUAUGGGAAAUAUAUCGAUCUUACAAAUAAUAUUUAAUAAGUACAAAUUUCAAAUUAAAUAAUAAAUCCUUAAUUUCCCUUUAAUCAUAAUUAUGAUCUUAAUAAUUAAAGUCAUUCAAUCUUAAUCACUUUUUCAUUGUUUUAAACUAUCUAAAUGACAUCGAAAACUCUACUCAAUAUGGGAUUUUUAUUGAAUUAUUUAAUAAUAUACUACUAUCUAAUAAAUGAUUAAUUUCCUUUUAUUCGAAUUUAAUAAUAUACAUCAUUUGAGCGUCGAAUGAAUUGAAGGGUCCAGAUUCACUCUUACAUUGAAUCUGAUGGCCAAGGUGGUACUCCAGCUGAGUAUGAUGAUGAUGAAGAAGAAGAAGAGGAACAUGACAGAGAAUUAGAAGAAGAAGAUGAAGAAGGGGAUGUUUAUGAGGCUGUAGAGGAAGAAGAAGUUUUUGAAGAAGAGGAGAGGAAUGAUGGGGCGGUUAAAGUCAAAGGAAUAGAGGGUAAUGAUGCAUGAGGAGUAUGGAGGGUGCAGUGGAAGUGAGUAAAGGGAAUAAUGAUAAUGGCUAACGAAGGACCACAGCUCAUUGGCUGCACUCAUGUGUAGCAAAGUAUUUGGACUCAAGACUGUUAGAAGGUCGUUACAGACGCAAGACUGCUGCUGUGUAACGGUAUGCCAUGCUGGCAAGUGGGGCACCAAAUAUUGUGAGCCAGUAUUCGUAAUUAGUGUAGAGUGUUCUGAUUUAUUCUAUAAGUAGCUCAUUCGUGCUUAAAACCUACAUGUAUUGUACGUUUCUAUCGGUAAUUUGAUUACCUUUCCGUACUUUAUCAAUCAUUGAAUGAUUUUACUGGUUUAAUUGCUUGAUUGUUUGAGUAUAAUCGGUAAUUUGAUCGUCUGUCAGCAAGUGAUUUACAAUUCACUCUCCAAUUUUCAUUAAUUUAGUGUAGCAAAGCUUUAACUAGAUAGGUAGAUAACGUGGACAUGAAAACUUGAUUAAGAGUUUAGAGCAAUCAAAUCUACUUUAAUGAUUAUUUAAUGCACGGAGAUUUAACAUCAAUUAUCAUCACGUUAUUCUAACAACGAGAUUGCAGAACUUGGAUCUUUACUCGAACAAUUUCAAUUCCUGUAUGAUCAUUUCCCCAACUAUUAUUUGAAUAAUUAUUUAAUGCCGUUCAUUCCAGCUCUGUUUGGCUGUUAACUUUAUUUAGUUAUUUAUGAGGAGAUUCAUUUCUCACCUGAAGCUAGAAAUUUACGAAUCAAUGACUUUUUAUUUUUUCUUUUAUAUGAUAGCUUGCAAUCCCUGGUGUGUGUUGAUAGUGCCUUACAUGAAUACAAAAAUGAACAUUUUUUUUUUUUUUUUUUUUUUGGGGCCAAUUGCAGUUUUGAUAACAACUAAAAUCUGUGUGGUCCGGUUGCUACAAAGCCUUGCCCCAGAUCCCUGCCAUUUUCUCCUCCACCUCCAUUUGGGGAAAUUACUACUUACUUUUUGCCAAUUUUUCUUGAAAUAUUUAUUUUAAGAAGAAAACCAACAAUACAUUUUAUGAUUUGGGCUGUUUCAAAGAUCUUCGCUUGAUGUCUCUGCUACUGGCUUUCAGCAGAGUGCCAAAAAUAAUCAGUGCACGCACUAUAGGCUCUAUUAUUAUCAGUAAAAGGCAUUAAUGAUAUAUUGGGAUCGACUUUUUUAUUUGGGAGUGGAAGGAUGCUUGAAAGAGUAGAGUGGUGCAUCUUGUUCAAACAUGCACCGUAGAGCCAAUUCCAUUUUAUGAAAUAGAAGUUAGACUGAACAACGUUAUGUCUUCGUUAUCAUUUCAGAAGGAAACAAAUCAAACAAUGCCGAAAUUGAGUGCCCACACAUUUUCAUGCCCAAAUUGAGUGCUGGAAUGGUGGUCAAAUCUCGAACGAAGACAGAUCUAUCAAACUCCAAAUCUCGAACAAGUAAUUGAAAUCUGAAGUUUACGAGCAAACAAACUGAAAUCUGAAGUUUACUGAAGUUAAGGGACGAGCGCAAAACAGAAACUCUGUCCACUACUGAUGAUAUAACAACGAACCUUUGUAUUUUUUUUAAAAAAUAAUAAUAAUAAUACAACUAAACUUUGUUUUUUUUUUUUUUUUUAAAAACAGUAACAAAAUAUCAUUAGACAAAUGAAAAUAUUUUUUCAUGUCGUUCAGAUAACUGAUUGAUAAAGUAUCAUUAGACAAAUGAACCUUUGUUACCUAAUUCAGACUUGUUUUCUUUGAACCAGCGCCUGAUUCACAAGAAUCCAGUAAUUUGGCUUUUGAUCAACUGAUUGAUAAAUGUUCAAUUUCUUUGGUGAUAAAUGUGUAUGUGAAGCAGGCGAUGGCGAUGCAAGUUUCGUCUUACUAUACAAAGUCUUUUUAAUCUCAUGUCAAUCUCAUGUAUUAAUUGUAACCCUUCCGUUACUGCAAUCUGCAAAUGUGUCAAAAUCGGUUAGCACGAAUUAUGGCAGAUUGUUGAAGAUAAAUAUUCCACAGAAUCAUCAUUCUUUGCUCCACAAACUUUUAACUUUUUAAAACAUUGAGUUUGUAGUUAAAUGUCAUAAUGAUGCUUUACGAAAUUACGAUUAUGUUUACUGCUUGCACCUUUUUGAUGAAUUUGAUUAUGAUGGCAUUUCUAAUCAUAAAUUAUGUUAUUAUUGUAUGAAUUUAUUAUUCUGAUGUUAUUUAUAGACGAAUGUCAAUAAAUAUUAACAUAUUUUUGGGGUUCUCUUUUUUGUAUUUAAAAAAAUGAAGUAUGUUGUUUGACAACAUUUUGGACCAAAUCAAAUUAAGGAGUCUUUAAGAGUUAUUAAACGUGGGUAUAAUAUGCGCAAGUUGGAGUGCAAGGGGGGCGCCAUUGGGAGCUCUCACACACGACUGUGGAAAAGAGAAGAUUUUAGUGAAAGGCGAGACUCAGAUAAUUCUACGCGUUUUGGCUGAUUUAUAUAAUUCGUGAAAUUUUAUUUCCAUCUGUUACAAGAUCAAACUGAAGCAUAACUCAGAAAAAUAUUCUAUUUCUUGCGGCAAUCUUGCCUUCAUUCAGACUAUGAACCAUUUCCUUUCACCAAGUUCUUCCUAAACAUUGAAUAAGUUUCAUGGUUGGACAUAGUUAGCUUCUGUAUCUUUUGGUGCAUUUAGGUGCUAUCAAGUGACAGCCGUAAGUAUGAUUGCAUUAUUGGGAAAUUUUACGAUUUGAUGGUUCCCCACGUUAUUGCCAAGAAAGAUGUCAGAAGCUGCGGUUCUUUUCAUCAGCCUGAACCCGAACCUGUCCCUAUGGAUAAUUCAGGUUUUUGUCAUCAACUAUAUCAUCUUUUUCACUGUUUUGAAACUCUUAAUAUUAAACUUCAGUAAACUUCAGAUUUCAGUUUGUUUGCUCGAAACUUGUAUGGUGACAAGGAUACUGGCAAGGAUAAUGAGAUAGUUUUUUGUGUGAGUGAAUUUUGAGAGCUCGAGUGUUCUGGGAUUUGCAAUUGCAAUCAUCCUCUGUUUCAGGUGAUUUCUUCUCCUGCUCUGUCUUUAUUUGCUCUCUAAUUGAAAAGCAUAAAGUAUUUCAAUCAAAUUCUGUACCAGGAAUACUUUAAAGUUACUGAUACUUUAUUUCCAUCUGUUUGCAUUGAUAACUUGGCGGCAUAUGUACUAGUUAAAAAACAAACAGAAGUAGAGAAGUAGAGUUCAGGAAAAAGCUUCUUCGGCCACCAUAUUUGAAAAUGAAACCAUUUCCUGGAAGCAGUUGGCAGCAAAUUCAUAUAAAGUGUAGACAAUGAUUAGCAGAAAGGUGAUUCACAAUUUCAUUUUUUUAAAAUGAAAUUAUUUGUUAAGUUGGAGCUGAUACUGUUAGAAGGCCAAUGAGCUAACCUAUGACACUGCUUGCCUAGUUUGCAGGAGGUCAAGGCUCAAAAGAAGCACUGAAUUUUAAAAGUCAUGCAAUAAUUCUUAGGGCCAUAUGUCAAUUCAUGUAAGUUUGAAUAAGUUUAAUGGUGGAACGCUUUUAGCUCCUUUUCCUUUCGUGCAUUUUGGGGUGCUAUCAAGUGACCGCCGUAUGUAUGGCUGCAUAUAGCUGCUGCUGGGAAAUUUGAGGAUUUGAUGGCUGCCCGUAUUAUUGUCUUAAAUUAGAUGUGAUAAGCUGUUGCUUAGAGAUUCUGUUGCCAAGACUUUGCUCACAUCAGAAGCUGUGGAACCUGAACCCUUCUCUAGAUAUCAUCUUUUUCAUUGUUUUAAAACUCUCAGGAUUAAACUUAAGUAAAUUUGUUCGGUUGUCUAUAUAAUCAGGUCAAGUAUACUGGGCAGGCAAAUGUCAGAACUCGGUUUAUUCGACAAAAACUUGUUUAAGAUUCUUGGCAAAGCUGCAUGGAGUGAAUUUUGGGAGCUUGAGAGUGAAAGAAGUUAGAGAAUGUAUUAGGAUUUGGGUUUAUUAGGAAGUUAUGUAUUUCAUUAUCAGUUUUUUUUUUCUUUUGUAAAAAGUAAGGAUGGGCCAAAUCCAAGUAGCUUUUAUUUUCCUCUUUUCUCCCUUAAGGCUCGAACCUCCUUUAUUAGAAAAAGUCUUAAGUGUUCUUACUCAAUGGUAGAAUCAUAAUUUUACUUCAAUGGAAGCCAUACUAAUUAGAGUAUACUCUUUUGAUUAAUUACUUAUUUGAUGUUGCUCUCUCUACCUUCAUCUCCUUCUUUAUGAAAAAUUUAUUGUAAUACAUGGAAGUAAAUAUUGUAUUGAAUAAAAUGAAAUUGUUCAAAAAUUAACAAAUUCAGCUUUAUUAUAAUCUAAAACAAAGUAAAUAAAAUAAUACCCAUCAAGUAAAAAUAAAAAAAUAAAAAAUUUUGUACCACUUUGAAUCUAUUUUAAAUUUUUUGGUAAAUCUCAAAAGCACAAACUUUGAACAAUAAUAAUAGGUAAAAACUAAUAAUCUUAUAAUAAAAAGUAAGAAAAAAAUAAAGUUGAUUUAGCAUGUAAGAAUAAAAAAAGAAGAAUAGAAAGAGAGAGAAAUUAGUUUAGGCUUUAACUAUUGUUAUAGUAGAGAAGUAAUUUUAUGACUUUUUAGAAAUGAGUGAAUUAAAAUAGUAAGUUAUAAUUUGAUAACUAUCUUAAUUAAAAAAGUGGGUGUUGAAAUAAAAUUAAUGGAUUCAAAUAGCCCACCCAAAAUCCAAAAUUGCAUGCCAAUUAUUUUCUAAUUUACAUAAAGUUCUUCAAUUUUUUUUAUAACAUUUGUUUCUCAAUUGGUCUAAUGGAGAAACAACCAGCAAAAAAAUAAAAUGAAUGCAAUUACAUGGAAAUUUGAAAAGAGCAGUAGAUGACAUUUAUGUGCAAGCAAAAUGCAAAAUUGCAUUCUGUUUGUGGGAUCCUGGAAAAAAUAAAAGAAAGAAAACAGAGUAAGACGCUGAGACCGGGGGCUUGCUUCCAUGGCAGAUUCUCGUUGGUUCAUUUUUCUUUACGCCUUAGAUUCUAAUCAUUCUAUGAUUCAAUUUCAAUAAAAUACGACAAACAAAAGAAGCUUUUAAGCCUGCAGCUGAAAUAGAUGGCACUUUAAUUUUCAGCUGAGAAUCAAAUGAAAUAGAUGGUAAGAUUAUCAUUAUUGAGCUUGAUAACUGAUAAGGCUAUAGAAAAUUCAAUAUCCAGAUCGGACAAGGAUCCAAUAAAUUAUAAAAUAUUGCGGCUCAAACCCCAUAUGAUCAUGGGCCACCGCUUGCUCAUGCUUUGAAUCAAAAUUUUCUAAUGAAGUGAGGUUGGAAGCUAAAAGGGGCAAGUAAUGAAAUGGGGUUCAUCAUAUAUUGAGCCCAAUGGGACAAGAUCAUCAUUUAAUUCCCUCCUCUUGUCGAUAGAUAUUUGCCGAAUUCUUUCAUUUAAAAAAUAUUAUAUUGGUUAAUAGAAUUUGAAGUUUUACAAAAUAUAAGUUUAAUUUUAAAAAAUUAUAUUUUUUAAUUUAAAAUUUUCAUUUGGUGGUUAUGUUUGAAAAAAAGUUUAGGUAUACUCGGACAUACUCUCUUAUUAUUCAUUGAAUUUGGGCAUUUAAACAUAUUAGUAUGCAGUAUUUCUAGGUAAUUAGCUGAGAAGUAUAGGUGACAAAAAUAUAACAUGUGAAACAAUACACAAUGAAAUUAUCUACAAUUUUCCAUUGACUUAGGUGGCGUUUGUUUUUUUGUUUGAAAUCUGAAUAGAUCUGAAUUAGUCUGAAUUCUGAAUAGGUCUGAAUGUCUGAAUCUGAAUAUUACGUUUGUUUUUUCGUCUGAAUCUCGGAAAAUAAGUAUUAAGUUGUUUGUUUUUUUCAACUUAAAAAGUUGAAAAUAUGUACUUUUACAUUUGUAUCCUUAUUAAAUUUAAAUGUCAAAUAAAUAAUAUAUUAAAUACCAUAAUAUUUUAACAUUUAUAAGUAAAACUAUAUUCAAGUUAAUACAUAAUUAUUUUAGAAUUUUAAUAUAUAAAAUAUCAUAAAUUUCAAAUUUUAUCAUAUAUAAUAUAAAAAAGAAAAAAUAUGGAUAUUUUUAUGUGGGGUAAAUAUCUAUAGGUGAGUUUUGGGAUAGACAUGAAAAAUAAAUUAUAAAACAGGGAUAUUUUUUACAUUAGCAAGUAAUUGACUUAAUUCAGAUUUCUCCAUUAAGUAAAAAGAUAAAAAAAUUAGCUUAUUUUAUUAAGUCAAAAUUAUCUAAAAAGUCUUAUUAAGUUAUAAAAACAAACACAUCUAAUUAACUUAAUUAAUUAAGUUAAGUCACUUUAAGUCAUUAAGUUAAAAAACAAACGCCACCUUAGUCAACUCUUCAUUGAUUUCAUUGACUUGAUCAACUCAUGAUCUAACUUGACAACUUAAAAAUUAAAUUAUGCUAGUAAUUCCGUAAAAUUAAAAUUUAUCUCUCAAAAUUGAUAAAUACUGUGUCACUUUGUCAAAUUACUUAGGGUAAAAGCUCUGUGGCUAAAAACUUUUAAGAUUAGAUGUAUGCUAAUUGAGAAGGACAAGACACAAAACACAAAAGAAUCAAUGAAUGCCACAUCAUGUAACACUAACACUACUUACUCUUAACAAAUUCUUACAAACGUGAUUCAUGAAAUUAACUUGACUUUUUGUCUAAAAAAGGCCUAAAGAAACAUGCCAAGCAACAAAUAAAGUAGUCCAAACGUGAUUCAUGAAACUUGAUAGGCGCUAUCUAAAUAGUAUUAAUAUGGCAACCGAAAACAUGCGCGCAAAGUAGACUUUCUUGGACAAUCCAUGCCAAUCAGCAAAUAAAGUAGUCCAAACGUGAUUCGUGAAACUUGACUUCUUGUCUAAAAAGGCCUAAGGAAACAAGACCAAAAGUUCCAUGCAAUAGCAAUAUGGUGGCCACAAUGCACUUUUUAAGCCAUUUUUCAAAACUAAGUUUCUUCGUUUCACAUGCACUAUUCAAGCAAUUUAACAUUUUCUCCUUCCCCUGAAAGCUAUUGGAGAAAAAUUAGUUUCUUAAAUUUUAAUAAAAACUUUUAGAACCGAUCUCAUACAAUAGAUAAGAAUUCGUAAUCUAAAAAUCGUACCUUGAAAAUAUGAGAAGAUGUACAAUCUUUGUUUUUUUUCCUCUGAACUGAUUUAGGCUCCCAGAUCACGAUUUGUCAUCACCACACCUGUUAGAUCACGAUCCGUCACCACCACGCCUGUUAGAUCACGAUCCGUCACCACCACGCCUAUUAGAUCAUGAUCUGUUACCACCAUACUUGUUAAAUCACGAUCUGUCACCAAAGAUCUUCCAAGUUAUGACUCAGAUUUGAUCUGCACUUGAUGUGUGGGCACCUUUAUCACUACUAAAGCAACUAGCAAGAGAAAAUUUUUCUCUUAAAAUUAAAGAGAAAAAUUCUUUUUCUCUGAAUUAUAUAAUACGACUCUAUCUUUUUUCUUUAAAGAAAAUAAAUCUUUUUAUAUCUCCCUUCAAUGAAAACGCUCCAAAUAAUAAAAACCAAUCCUUGAUUUUCUAGAGUACAGCUAUGCAGUUCUACAAACACGAAACUGCUGUUGGUCCAAUUACUUUCAAGAAACAACGUACUCUGUGGUUUAUUGACUUGUGACAUGGGCAAAUUAGUCACGGUCCGAUUCUCUCCUCUUCCACUGACUCUGUCAAUUCAUGACUUUGGCACACAGUAGAAGCCAGCUGCCUGCUCCAUUUGACGUGCAAAGAACUUUCUUGAGUCGGGAUAAAAUCGAUUAAUUAUUUUGUUUGGUGAUGAUGAGUUAGUUGUCAAUUCAUGAGUUUGAUGCAGUGAAACACUUAACGCUCUCUUGUGAUGAGUAGGAGAAAAGCCAGCGAUGAUGAAGAGGACUAAAAACAUUAUUUUGUUAUUUACAAUAAGGCUAUCAAUUAUAUAUUCCAAAAUAAUUGGGUUUGGAUGGUCAUUUUGUUUUCUAAAAUAUCCAAAUGGAAACAGAAUUUAUAAAGUGGGAAAAUCAAGAAAUUAAAUACUCUUCAUAUAGUGGAAGGAGAUUUGGUUGCCGUUAUACUAAAUAAAAGAAAAAUAAAGUAAAAUUACAAUACUUUAAUAAUCUCAUUCCCAAUCGUACCGGAAAUAAAAUUUUCUGUAUAUUUAUGAAAUAAUUACUGAUUGGUGCAAGAGAUUGGUGGGACUCAUUUGAUUCAAGAAAAACAAUCAGUCUCAUUUGGUACGCAAAGAGCUUUUCUACUCUGUAGCCAAUAUUUUGAUGAAUGUGACGUUACUGGUUUGUAUAAUUUUUUGGAUAUUAUCUCAAUUUUACUUCUGUAGGUUUGUGGUUUGUAUAUUAUCUCAAUUUUUUAAAAAAUGUAAUUGCAAUUAUCAAACACGACUAAUCCCAACAAUUUAUCCAAAAUUUUUUAUUUAAAGAAAUGUAGCAUUUAUGAUAGAAUGGCUAAUUUUUUCAAUCAACUUUCUGGAAAAUGAUAAUUUUUUGAUAGAAAUGUUACUUACUUAUUACAGGAAGAAAAUUAUAGAAUAAUUUUUUGAAUUAAUAGUAUUACUUUACGAUAACACUAUCACAAUCUUAAAAAAAAAAAAAGUUAUUCUUUAAAUUUCGCAUUACUAUUCCUACUUUUCUUGUUAUACUACUUAAUGGCACUAGUGAAUCCUCGAAUUAUCAAACAAAAGGCAAAAAUAGUUCAAUAUCUGCUGUCCCAUUGAGCAUUGUUAAAUUCAUACGAUAAAAUGAGUACUUAUAUUAAAAAAACAAUCGGUCUCAUUACGUGCUCUUUCACUGACAUAGGCAAGUUGCGGCCAACUUGUGGCACUUCUAUGAAUUUUCAAGACUGGUGAAUUUUUCAAAUUUCAAAGAAAAAUAUACAGAAAUGUAAUUUCAAUUUAUCCAAAAAUUUGAGUUUCAUGGAAUAUAGCAUUUAUUAUAUGUCAUGUUAAUAUAGAGAAGAAAAUUUUAAAAACUUCUUUUUGGAUGAAUAAAAGUAUUUUCUGAUAAAUAUUUCACAAUCAUAUUUAAAAAUUUUCACUCCUCUUGGUACAUAAUUUAAGAAUUUAACAUUAUAAAUUAAUCUUUUUAAUCAAAGUAAUAAUCUCUCCUCGGGUCUGCAAAUGCUAAAAUUUAAUAUUAUAUCCGUUGACGAUAUUUGCUCCAAAUUCAUGAAAAUAAAAUUUCGAACAGAAUUAUGAAAUUCGUUACUAGAAAUUUGUAUAAAAGUUGUGAGAAUAGAAGGUUUGAUCAUAGGAAAUUAAUAUAUCCCUAUCCGAUGCAAAAAUGAUUGUAAAGAAAAACAAAAGUCACGGGCUUAUUUAGAAGAAAAGAAAAAAUUACAUUCCAUUUUCUAGUUAUUAAAAUAACUAGAAAAUAGAACCGCGCUUCACGCGAUUUUUAAAAAAAAUUAGUAUUAUCUUUUUUUCUUAUUUUACACUUAAUAAAACUGAUAAAAAAUAUGAAUUAGUUUUUUUUAAGAUGAGGCAGCCUUAUAAAAAAUAAAAAAUAAAAAAUUUAUUAGCCAGCAAUACAAAUAAAGAAGCAAUGCAAGAUAAAAAAUAAAAUAAGAUAAUAUAUUAUAGAGUGAUUUUAUUCAUUCUAAUUGUGUGUGUACAAAACAAAAAGAUGAACUUUCCUUUUAUAGUUACAUAAUCACUCCAUGAAAUUAAUGAAAAAUUAUGGAUCAUAAUUUCUUGUGAGAUAGUGAGAGUUAUAGGGAAGCUAAAGGUUGCUAAUGGGAGAUAGUGGGGAGACUAAGAACUAUAUGUUAUGAACAUCUACAUUUAUUUUAAUAAAUUCAUAGCACUCCCUCUUGAAUGUUCAUUACAAAGAAUAUGACUCAUUAAAUUAUUUAUAUAAUUGUUAUUGCGUAAUAACAAUCAAAUUAAUUAUGAGAGGAUGAAAAGCCAAAUUUAAAAGAAAAUUUUCUAUUUAUUAGAUAAUAGAGAAUAUAUAAAGAUGACAAACGGUGAUGCAACAUCACCUCCUCAAGUCUCAACUUUAUAUAUAUAUAUAUAUAUAUAUAUAUAUAUAUAUAUAUAGAUUAAUUCAUGUAUUUUAUGCCACUAAAGUUUAAUUGCUAGCAUAAUAAAAUAAAUAAAUGUUUCAAAAGACUUAUAAUUAAUAUUAUUAAUGAUUACAUAUUGUUGAAUUUAAAUAGAAAGAGAAAAAAAUUACAAAGAAUAUCCACCAAUAUUUUAGAUAUUUUAGAUAAUAGAAAAUAUAAAAAGAUGAGGAAUGAUAUAUAUUAAUAAAGUUACUAUUUAUUAAAUGAGUUAAAUACAAUCAAAUUAAUUAUGAGAAGAUGAAAGGUCAAAUCUAAAAAAAAAUCUCUAUUUAUUAGAUAAUAGAGAAUAUACAAAGAAGCAAAAUGGUGAUGCCGCAUCACCUCCUCAAGUCCUAACUUUAUAUAGAUACUAGGAAAUAGAACCGCACUUUGUGCGGUUUUAAAAAAAGAAUUUAAUAUUAUCUUUUUUUAUUACUUUGCAUUCGAUGAAACUGAUAAAAAAUAUAAAUUUUUUUUUUUAAGAUGACGCAGCCUUAGAAAACUAAUGUUAUUUAUGAAAGUUUAUUAUUUUUUUGUUAACAUUAAAAAAAUAUAUUAAUGUGUAUAGUUAAGUGUACACAACUUUUUCAUCAAUAACAAUCAUGUUCAUACUAAUCAACUCUUUAUUUUUCUUGGUAUUAACAGACUCCCACAUCUUACAAAGCCUAACCCUUAUCAUCCAACAAUGUUUAUCAUUGUUUAACUCAUGAAGAAAAGAGUACUCAAUGAAGCACACAAUACUAAAAAUUUAAAUAAGUCAAAAAAUAAAAACACAAUAACAUUUUUAAAGAGGAUGUUCGUUAAAUAAUAAAAAAAAAAACUUAAACAUAACAAAUCUUAAAUGCUUAAUAUUUAUAGAGUUUGAAGAAGCCAAAAGACACUAAAUAAAAAGUUGCAUAAUUAAAUAUAGGAUUAUGACAUUAAAAUUAGGUCCUAAUGGCAUUGGUGAGGGAAGAUGAAGGAACCUUCCUUCCUAUAUUAAUUAGUUGAUGUAUUUUAAACCACUAAAAUUUAGUUGUUGGCUUAAUAAAAUAAAUGAAUGUUUCAAAACUUAUAAUUAAUUUAUUAUUAAUGGUUACAUAUUGUUGAAUUUAAAUAGAAAGAGGAAGAGACAUGUAAUCUUUUGUAAUCUAUUAAUUAUUUUCUAUUUUUAAUAUUUUGUCAUGUAAUUAUUUUUUAAUCUCAACCAAUAUAUUAGAUAAUAGAGAAUAAAAAAAGAUGAGAAAUAAUGAUGCCACAAAUCUUAACUAUUUAAUAUUUAUAGAGUUUGAAAAAGCCAAAAGGCACUAAACAAAAGAUUGAAUAAUUAAAUAUGAGAUUAUGACAUUAAAAUUAGGCUCUAAUGGCAUUGUUGAGGGAAGAUGAAGGAACCUUCCUUCCUAUUAAUUAAUUGAUAUAUUUAAGCCACUAAAGUUUAAUUGUUGGCAUAAUAAAAUAAAUAAAUGUUUCAAGAUUUAUAAUUAAUUAUUAUUAAUGGUUACAUAUUAUUGAAUUUAAAUAGAAAGAUGAAGAGACAUGUAAUCUUUUAUAAUCUAAUAAUUAUUUUUUAUUUUUAAUAUUUUGUAAUGUUUUAAUAUCAACCAAUUUAUUAGAUAAUAGAGAAUACAAGAAGAUGAGAAAUAAUGAUGCAAUAUCACCUCCUCUAGUCCUAACUUUAUAUAUAUAUAUAUACAUAGAUGAAUAUAGAUUUUUAAUAUUUUGUAAUGUAAUUAUUUUUUAAUCUCACCAAUAUAUUAGAUAAUAGAGAAUAAAAAAAAGAUGAGAAAUAAUGAUGCCACAAAUCUUAAAUAUUUAAUGUUUAUGGAGUUUGAAGAAGCCAAAAGGUACUAAACAAAAGAUUGAAUAAUUAAAUAUGGGAUUAUUUUAUUAAAAUUAGGCUCUAAUGGCAUUGUUGAGGGAAGAUGAAGGAACAUUCCUUCCUAUAUUAAUUAAUUGAUGUAUUUUAAGCCACUAAAAUUUAAUUGUUUGCAUAAUAAAAUAAAUGAAUGUUUCAAGACUUAUAAUUAAUUAUUAUUAAUGGUUACAAAUUGUUGAAUUUAAAUAGAAAGAGGAAAAGACAUGUAAUCAUUUAUAAUCUAAUAAUUAUUUUCUAUUUUAAUAUUUUAUAAUGUAAUUAUUUUUUAAUUUCAACCAAUUUAUUAGAUAAUUAUAUAUUAACUGAUAUCUUUAUUAUUAAUAUAUUUUUUAUCUUUAUUUUUUUGAGUGUCAUAAUAUGAUAUAUGUACAAAGAAUAUCCACCAAUAUUUUAGAUAUUUUAAAUAAUAGAGAAUAUAAAAAGAUGAGGUUGAAAGAAGAUGAAAGAACCUCUCUUCCUAUGUUAAUUAGGUGAUGUAUUUUAAGGCACUAAAGUUUAAUUGAUAGCAUAAUAAAUUUUGAAGAAGCCAAAAGACACUCAACAAAAAGUUGUAUAAUUAAAUAUGAGAUUAUGACAUUAAAAUUAGGCCUUAGUGGCAUUGUUGAGGGAAAAUGAAAGAACCUCUUUUCCUAUAUUAAUUAAUUCAUAUAUUUUAAGCCACUAAAGUUUAAUUGCUAGCAUAAUAAAAUAAAUAAAUGUUUCAAAAGACUUAUGAUUCAUUAUUAUUAAUGAUUACAUAUUGUUGAAUUUAAAUAGAAAGAGAAAAAAAAGUACAAAGAAUAUCUACCAAUAUUUUAGAUAUUUUAGAUAAUAGAAAAUAUAAAAAGAUGAUGAAUGAUAUAUAUUAAUAGAGUUACUAUUUAUUAAAUGAGUUAAAUAUAAUCAAAUUAAUUAUGAGAAGAUAAAAAGUCAAAUUUAAAAAAAUCUCUAUUUAUUAGAUAAUAGAGAAUAUACAAAGAAGUGAAAUGGUGAUGCCACAUCACCUCCUCAAGUCCCAACUUUAUAUAUAUAUAUAGAUAGAUAUAUAGAUAUAGAUAUAGAUAUAGAUAUAGAUAGAUAGAUAGAUUAAUGAUUACAUAUUGUUGAAUUUAAAUAGAAAGAGAAAAAAAAGUACAAAGAAUAUCCACCAAUAUUUUAGAUAUGUUAGAUAAUAGAAAAUAUAAAAAGAUGAGAAAUGAUAUAUAUUAAUAAAGUUACUAUUUAUUAAAUGAGUUAAAUACAAUCAAAUUAAUUAUGAGAAGAUGAAAGGUCAAAUCUAAAAAAAAAUCUCUAUUUAUUAGAUAAUAGAGAAUAUACAAAGAAGCAAAAUGGUGAUGCCGCAUCACCUCCUCAAGUCCUAGCUUUAUAUAUAUAUAUAGAUAUAGAUUCUAAAAUCGCUAGGAUCACAAAGGAUAGCCUUUGGUUGACUGAGGUCAGCCUUAACGCAUGCCGGUCUUUUUCUCCUCUACAUUCUUAGAAAUUUUGGUUUCACUAUAAAUACUCGGUAUAUAGCAAACUUAAGUGUUCUUGCAUUACCAAUCCAACUAAGCACACGCUUACAAUAUAAAUACUCUCAUCUCAUGGAAAGAGUUCAUUCUCUCAGGAUGAUGAGCAGAUUUCUCUUACUCCAUUGUUUGAUUAUUAUUUUCUUAUUUAUCUCGGCAGCAGCAGCCAACACAAGUUCUACUAUCACAGACCGAGAAGCUCUGUUAGCCCUGAAAGCUCACAUAACUCAUGAUCCGACCAAUUUCUUGGCUAAGAAUUGGAACACAAGUACUCCUGUCUGUAAUUGGACAGGUGUCACUUGUGAUGUCCAUAGCCAUAGAGUCACAGUCUUGAAUAUUUCAAGCUUAAAUCUCACAGGCACCAUCCCUUCUCAACUUGGGAAUCUUUCUUCUCUGCAAUCACUCAAUCUCAGUUUUAAUCGACUUUCUGGUUCCAUUCCCUCCGCCAUCUUCACCAUGUAUACACUGAAAAAUGUUACCUUCCGUGAAAAUCAGCUCUCUGGACAAAUUCCUGCAAAUAUUUGCAGUAGUCUUCCUUUUCUUGAAUUUCUUUCUUUGUCCCAAAACAUGUUCCAUGGCGGAAUACCGUCCACUCUAUCAAAUUGCACAUAUUUAAGAAUCUUAAGUUUGUCAUACAAUGAUUUCUCGGGAGCCGUACCUAGAGAAAUCGGUAAUUCGACCAAACUUAAGAUAUUAUACCUUGGUCGUAACAGACUCCAAGGUGCGCAUGAUCACGAAGUUUAAUUAUGAAAAUUGUUGCAUAAGUUGUGGUAUGAAUAAUGUUCCAUAAUACAGUUUACACACGUUGAUUAAUUUGCAGGAGAAAUUCCUCGAGAGUUUUGCAAUCUUACGGAAUUGGAGCAUAUGUCGUUGGCAGGCAACAAUCUCCAAGGCAUGAUUUUUAACUUUUUGCUAUUUUAUUUUAGCUAUGCUUGCUUCUGUAUUCAUUCGCUUGUUCUUUGAUUAUGCAAUGAUUUAUUGUUUUUCUUUCAGAUAGAGAUAAAGCUCCAUGUCUCCCCUCACUCAUUUCAUUCUUUAAAUUAUGCAGAUUAAAAAAAAAGAAUGUUCUGUAAUUUUCUUUUGUCAUAUUACCACUUCCAUUUUGAAGCUUCCAAUUAAGUCGAUGAAAAUAAAUGAUGUUUCAUUCUUAUUCUUGUCAGCCUAAUUCUUAUAUAAUUGAAGAGUAAAUUGUUAUUACGAUAUUCGUCGGCCAAUAAAUUCUUCUUUUUUUCCCCCAAAUAUGAGUGAUCAAAUUGUUUGCGCAUAUAUAAAUGUACUUAAUUUGCAGGAGGUAUUCCACAGGAAUUGGGGAAUCUUGCAAAAUUGGAGAUGUUACAGCUGUUCCAGAAUAACUUGACUGGUAACUUUCUUUACGAUAAAUAUAUGAGACAUCUUCCGCUUCUUAAUUAAUAGAUGUCUUAAUUAAAAGAUUUCAAGUCUCUCAUUAUAAAUUCUCAUAUGAGGAUGUGUAGUUACCACUAUCUAACGUUAUUCCUUUUUUAUUAGAAAUUAGUUUGUGUUAAUUCAAAAUUCUGUAGCAUUUAAAAAAAAUUAAGAACACGUGGAAUAAAUCAUCAAUCUUUCUACUUUACUGAAUUUGGAUUUCUCAAAAAUUAUCUUGACAAAUUUGCUUCACUAAUGAUAUGCAUGUGUGACAACUUCAUAAAAUAUUUUACUUGGAAUCACCAAUUAUCUUUAAAUAAUUGGAGAUGCCAUCAGCGAGACAUAAUUUCUUAACAAGCACCAUACCAAAAGAAAUUAAUAAUUUUAUUAAUCUUAAAGAGUUACAUCUUCACUGCAAUUAUGACAUAAAUUUUUAGUCAUCAAUCGCAUAAUAUUUUAUCUUAACGGAUGAUGUUCAGUCUUGGAAUUUAUAAUAUCUUGAAGGUUAGUAGCAUUGAAAAUAAGAAAUUGUUCAUGUGCUAAAAAGUUAACUUAGGAUUUAAGUUUUCCAAUAAAAGCGUUGAGAACUGGCGCUCCAUAGCAUUUCAUCAGAUAAAUAUGAAAAAUAGGCUAGAAGAAAUUAUUUUACUGAAAUAAGAGUUAAAAAGAGAGGAGAAGUACAGUACUCAUUACUUAGGUUUGCUGUGUGAGCUUAUUCUACUUGGGCUUUGGGCUUGAUUACACCCGUUAUAAUAAUAUGCUUUUACUUUCACCACACAUGAUGAUUUCUUUACCUUCCCAAUUAGGUUUUAGCAAUUUAUAUAUAAAUAACUAAAGCAUACUAAAGCUAGCAUUGAUGUACAGAUGAGUGGCGUAAAAAGUGUAUCUGUUUUCAUGUAUUAUUUAUUCUCUAAAACAUAUCUGAAUACAAUUCUUUCAAAAUACCGAGGAAAUAGCACAUGAAAUCGGAAAUAUUUUAUUGCGAUGAAAAUUCGUAUAUUCAUUGUAGUAGAACAUAUAAAAUAGAUUAUAAAUUUAUUAUUCUUUGAAACAAACCUGAUUAUAAUUCCUUCGAAAUUAAGUUUGUCAUUAAAUGAUUUCUCAGGAGCCCUACCAAAAGAAAUCGGGAAUUUGACCAAACUCAAGGAAUUAUCUCUUAACCAUAACAGGCUCCAAGGUGCGCACGAUCACAGAGUUUAAUUAUGAAAAUUGUUGCAUAAGUUGUAGUAUGAAUAAUGUUCCAUAAUACACUUUACACACGCUGAUUAAUUUGCAGGCGAAAUUCCUCGAGAGUUUGGCAAUCUUGCCGAAUUGGAGCUGAUGUGGUUAUCAGAAAACAAUCUCCAAGGUAUGAUUUUAAACUUAUUGCAAUUUUAUUCUAGCCUCUGCUUGCUUCUGUAUUCAUUCGUUUGUUCAUUAAUUAUGCUGUGAUUAAUUGUUUUUCUUUUAGAUAGAGAUAAAGCUCCAUGUCUCUCCUCACUCAUUUCCUUCUUUAAUUUAUGCAGAUAAAAAUUAAAAAAAUGUUUUGUAAUUUUCUUUUGUCAUAUUGCCACUUCCGUUUUGAAGCUCCCAAUAAGUCGAUGAAAAUGAAUGAUGUUUCAUUCUUAUUCUUGUCAGCCUAAUUCUUAUAUAAAUGAAGAGUAAAUUGUUAUUACGAUAUUCGUCAGCCAAUAAAUUCUUUUUUUUUCCCCCAAAUAUGAGUGAUCAAAUUGUUUGCGCAUAUAUAAAUGUACUUAAUUUGCAGGAGGUAUUCCACGGGAAUUGGGGAAUCUUACAAAAUUGGAGAUAUUACAUCUGUGGAAGAAUAACUUGACCGGUAACUUUCUUUACAAUAUAUAUAAGAGACAUCUUCCGCUUCUUAAUUAAUAGAUUUCAAGUCUCUCAUUAUAAAUUCUCAUAUGAGGAUGUGUCGUUACCUCUAUCUAACAUUAUUCCGUUUUUUAUUAGAAAUUAGUUUGUGUUAAUUCAAAAUUCUGUAGCAUUUAAAGAAAUUAAGAACACGUGGAAUAAAUCGUCAAUCUUUCUUCUUUACUGAAUUUGGAUUUCUCAAAAAUUAUCUCAACAAGUAUGCCUCACUAAUGAUAUGCAUGUGUGACAACUUCAUAAAAUAUUUUACAUGAAAUCACUAAUUAUCUUUAAAUAAUCAGAUAUGCCAUCACUGAUACAUAAUGUCUUAACAAGCAUCAUACCAAAAGAAAUCAACAAUUUUAUUAAUCUUAAAGAGUUACAUCUUCACUGCAAUUAUAACAUAAAUUUUUAGUCAUUAAUCGCAUAAUAUUUUAUCUUAACGGAUGAUGUUCAGUCUUUGAAAAUAAGAAAUUGUUCAUGUGCUAAAAAGUUAACUUAGUAUUUAAAGUUUUCCAAUUGAAAAUUUUGAAAAAAGCGUUGAGAACUGGCGCUCCAUAGUAUUUCAGCGGAUAAAUAUGAAAAAUAGGCUAGAAGAAAUUAUUUUACUGAAAUAAGAGUUAAAAAGAGAGGAGAAGUAUAGUAUUCAUGACUUCGGCUUUUUGUGUGUGCUUAUUCUACUUGGGCUUUGGGCUUGAUUACUCCCGUUAUAAUAAUAGGCUUUUACUUUCAGCACACAUGAUGAUUUCUUAACCUUCCCAAUUAGGUUAUAGCAAUUUAUAUAUAAAUAACUAAAGCAUGCUAAAGCUAGCAUUGAUGUACGGAUGAGUGGUGUCAAAAGUGUAUCUGUUUUUAUGUAUUAUUUAUUCUCUAAAACAUAUCUGAAUACAAUUCUUUCAAAAUACCGAGGAAAUAGCACAUGAAAUCGGAAAUAUUUUAUUGCGAUGAGAAUUCGUAUAUUCAUUGUAGUAGAACAUAUAAAAUAGAGUAUAAAUUUAUUAUUCUUUGAAACAAACUUGAUUAUAAUUCCUUCAAAAUUAAGUUUUUCAUUAAAUGAUUUCUUAGGAGCCAUACCAAAAGAAAUCGGAAAUUUGACCAAACUCAAGGAAUUACCUCUCUACAGUAACAGGCUCCAAGGUGCGCAUGAUCACAGAGUUUAAUUAUGAAAAUUGUUGCAUAAGUUGUAGUAUGAAUAAUGUUCCAUAAUACAGUUUACACACGAUGAUUAAUUUGCAGGCGAAAUUCCUCGAGAGUUUGGCAAUCUUGCCGAAUUGGAGAUGUUGUCGUUAUAUGAAAACAAACUCCAAGGUAUGAUUUUAAACUUUUUGCAAUUCUUAUAUUGUUGAAGAAUUAAUUGUUAUUAUGACAUUUUGAGAUUAAUUGUCAUAGGAGGAUGUGUUGUUAUUACUAUUUAACAUUAUCUCGUUUUUUAUUAGAAAUUAGUCUGUGUUUAUGCAAAAAAUUUUAGCUUCUAAAAAAAGUAUAAAAACACAUGGAAUAAAUCGAAAAUCUUUCUUCAUUACUGAAUUUGGAUUUCUCAAAAACUAUCAUGAUAGUUAUGUUAGUGUCUUACUAAUGAUAUGCAUGUGUGACAGCUUCAUAAAUUAUUUUAUAUGGAAAAUAUGAAAAAUAGACUUGAAAAAAAUUAUUUUACUGAAAUAAUAGUUAAAAAGAGUGGAGAAAUACAAUACUCAUGACUUAGGCUUGUUGUGUACUUAUUUUGCUUGGGCUUCGGGCUUGAUUACACAUGGUUGAACACUUACAUCCCCCCACAUAGGCUUUUAGGGAUGAGUGGCGUCAAAUGUGUAUCUACUUUUAUGUAUUAUUAUUCUUUGAAACAAAUCUGAUUAUAAUUCUUUUAAAAUACAGAUUAAAUAGCACGUGAAAUCGGAAAAUAUUUUACUGCGAUAAGAAUUCAUAUAUUCAUUGUACUAGCACAUAUAAAAUAGACUAUAAAUUUAGUUCCAAAAUACAUUCUUAUCUUCAUAUAAAUUUUACAUUAUUAAUUUAAAUUAAUAUUAAAAUAUGUUGUUUCUUUCACUAUGUUAUUUUAUUUACACAAUGAUGUGACUAUUGGAAUUAAUAAUACUUUUAAUGAUUUUGUAAAAAUAUAAAUUUAAUACUUUGUUAACAUUUUAUCUACAUAUAAUAAUUAAACUGAAACUUGUAUUUAAAAAAUUCUAGUUACACAUAUUCAUUUCAUGACAUAAAAGUGUAUAUUUAUGCUAAUUUACCAUUAUCAAAAAAAUGCUUUGAGACAAAUAAUCUAAUUUAUAUUUUUAUAUUUUAAAAUACUUGCAUUUAUUAUAUUUUGAAAAAAAUUUAUUUGCAAUUAUUUUAAACCGUUGGAUUCAAAUUUUCGUUGUUAUUAAAGUCAAAUGGUAUAAAUGUAUAAUAGUCAAAAACAUAUUUGUAUGAUCAUUUUUCAAUGUAUAAAUUUUCUUAGUUUGUAGGAAAAUUAGAAAUUGUUGAUUUACUCAUAAAUAAAUUUAAUGUUUAGCAUUUCAAUUUUGGAAAAUUUGAGCUACACUUUGAUAACUUUGAAUUGGUCGAGCCGAGUUUCGCUUCCUUGAUCCAUGGACCCAUUGAAAGUUCUAUCGAACUGAGUUUCCUGGUGCUUAUAAAAAGCAUUUCUUUUCCUUGUCGCAGUAAUUUAUUCACAAAUGAGUUGAUUAGCAUCGAAGUUACCUGAGAGUCUGAGACUAUGUUAAUAGGAGAAAUUUGAAAAGAAAUUAUUUUACUGAACUAAUUUAUUUUAUCUUGCUGUGACUGAAAUACUACUUUUUUUUUGGAGCAAUCACUGGGGCUUGAUUUACUUUAAUAGUAGCAGCCACCGACUUAGUCAUUUUUUACUUCUCACCACACAAUUUGAUCUUUUAAUUUGUUUUAACCAAUAAUCUAUCUAUCUAUUUCUCACCUAUUGCUUACUUAAAACACAUACAUAUUUUACCUACUAAUUUUUAUAAAUAUUAAUCAAAUAUAUUUUAUUACGUUUCCCUCGUAAUUGCUCCAAAUGUGUACAAUUAAUACUUAACCCUCCCUUUACUGUGCAAUCUAUCUAUCACUUAAGUCACAUAUAUAUUUUACCUAUAUUUUACCCUAAAAAAUAUAAAAAUAAAAGAAAAAGAAUAUGUGUAGCAAUUUGCAUAUAACUAACAAAGCAUUGACGGUGUGUAGCCUUUCAAUACUUCACGACUGGCUUUUCUUGUGUGUUAGUACUUGUAAUAAUUGUGUAGUGUAUAAAUGACAUUUUAUUAUUAAAGUGCGUCCAUUUUUAGAUAUUACUUAUUAUUUGAAAAAUAAACUGAAUAUAAUCAUUUAAAAUACAGGGGAGAUACCACUUGAAAUCAGUAAUCUCCAAAAACUGGAGGACUUGGGCCUUGGUCAAAACAAAUUAAUUGGUAUUGUCCCAGUUGCAAUCUUUAAUGUGUCAACACUCAAAUUUCUUGAGCUUCAAGAUAAUUCUCUCUCGGGAAGUCUUUCGUCCAUCGUAGACGUCCUACCAAAUCUUGAAAAGCUUCUUUUGUGGGGUAAUAAUUUUAGUGGCACAAUUCCUCAUUUCAUCUUUAAUGCUUCUAAGCUCUCUAUACUAGAGUUAUCACAGAACUCAUUCGCCGGUUUUAUUCCCAACACAUUUGGCAACUUAAGAAACCUUCAGCGGCUGAAAUUAUAUGAUAAUUAUUUGACAUCUUCAACUCCAGAAUUGAGCUUUCUAUUCUCGUUGUCAAAUUGCAAGUCUUUAACACAUCUUUCCUUAUCAAAUAAUCCACUAGAUGGCAUUCUUCCAAGGACGUCUGUCGGUAAUCUUUCUCAUUCUUUGAAAGAAUUUUACAUGUCCAAUUGUAAUGUUAGUGGCGGCAUCCCUGAAGAGAUCACCAACUUGACCAACUUGACAACCAUUUUUUUUGGGGGCAAUAAAUUGAAUGGAUCAAUUCCGAUUACUCUCGGCAAAUUACAGAAGCUUCAAGGUUUGGGUCUUGAAGAUAACAAAUUAGAAGGAUCAAUCCCAGACAAUAUUUGUCGUUUGACUGAACUGUAUGAGUUGGAGUUGGGUGGCAAUAAACUUUCUGGAUCAAUCCCUGCAUGCUUCAAUAAUCUGGCUUCUCUGAGGAUACUGUCGUUGGGUUCCAAUGAGUUAACUUCUAUUCCCUUAACUUUUUGGAACCUUAAGGAUAUCUUGCAACUCAAUUGUUCAUCAAAUUUUUUGACUGGCCAACUCCCAUCGGAGAUUGGAAAUUUGAAGGUUUUGGUUGGAAUUGAUUUUUCGAUGAAUAAUUUUUCAGGCGUUAUCCCAACAAAAAUUGGAGGCCUAAAAAAUCUAGAAUAUCUCUUCUUAGGAUAUAACAGAUUGCAAGGAUCAAUUCCUAAUUCAUUUGGUGACUUGAUAAGUUUGAAAUCCUUGAAUUUGUCUAAUAAUAAUCUCUCUGGAGCUAUUCCUGCAUCUUUAGAGAAACUGUCAUAUCUUGAAGAUCUAAAUCUUUCUUUCAACAAGCUGGAAGGAGAAAUUCCUACCGGAGGAUCUUUUGGAAACUUUUCAGCUGAAUCAUUUGAGGGAAAUGAAUUAUUAUGUGGUUCACCCAAUUUACAAGUCUCGCCAUGCAAAACUAGCAUCCACCGCACAUCAUGGAAAAAGUCUCUUCUCCUCGGGAUUGUCUUGCCAUUGAGUACUACAUUUAUGAUAGUAGUCAUUUUGUUGAUCCUAAGAUAUCGACAGAGAGGAAAACGACCAUCGAAUGAUGCUAGUAUGCCACUAGUAGCAAUGUGGAGAACGUUUUCAUACCUAGAACUCUGUCGAGCAACAGACGAAUUCAGUGAAAACAAUCUAAUCGGCAAAGGGGGUUUUGGCUCUGUUUAUAAGGCGAGACUUGGGGAUGGGAUGGAGGUUGUAGUGAAAGUUUUCAAUUUGCAAUGUGGAAGAGCAUUCAAGAGUUUCGAUGUUGAAUGUGAAAUGAUGAAAAGUAUUCGCCAUCGAAACCUUAUCAAAGUUAUUAGCAGUUGUUCAAAUGAAGAGUUUAAAGCGUUGGUAUUAGAAUACAUGCCUCAUGGAAGUUUGGAGAAGUAUUUGUAUUCAAGUAACUGCAUUUUGGAUAUUUUUCAAAGAUUGAACAUAAUGAUAGAUGUUGCAUCAGCUUUGGAAUAUCUGCACUUUGGUCAUUCAGCUCCAAUAAUUCACUGUGACUUAAAGCCAAGCAAUGUAUUGUUAGACGAUAAUAUGGUUGCUCAUUUGAGUGAUUUUAGCAUCGCAAAAUUGCUAACAGGAGACGAUCAAUCUAUGACUCAAACACAAACAUUUGCCACAAUAGGCUAUAUGGCACCAGGUUUGUCAAUAAAAAAAUUUUCUAUUUCUUGUAAACUUCCUAAUAAGUUGUUUAUGUUUCAUGAUCUUCAUUAGAUGAGGAAAUUCUUAUUGAUGAUAUAUCUUACUAUGUAACUAUUGCAAUUCAUAGAGUAUGGAAGAGAAGGACGAGUAUCCGCAAAUGGAGAUGUUUAUAGCUUCGGGAUUAUGUUAAUGGAAACUUUUACUGGGAAGAAACCCACAGAUGAAAUUUUUAACGAAGAAAUGACAUUAAAGCAAUGGGUUAAUGAUUGGCUACCCAUUUCCACAAUGGAAGUUGUUGAUGCUAAUUUGCUUAGUCAGGAGGACGUACAUUUUGUUGCAAAGGAGCAAUGUGUGUCAUUUGUCUUCAAUUUGGCUAUGGCGUGCACUGUGGAAUCUCCUGAGCAGAGAAUCAAUGCGAAAGAAAUUGUAACAAAGCUCUUAAAAAUUAGAGGCUCAUUACUUAGAAAUGUUGGAGGCAGAUGUAUAAGACAAUCAAAUUUAAAUUGAUUCUGCCACUCCAUUGCUUGCUAUCAUUUUCAGAGACUUGAAUGGUUAUCCUUCAUACCAGUUUUGUUGAUAUGUUUCGUUAUUGCUCUUGCUCAUGUUUGUUUCUCUAUUUCUUUAAUUUGCAUGCAUGUAUUUUUCGUUCUCUUUUAUGUUUUUGUUGGUUUGUAUGUAGUUUGUUUUUAGGGGUAAGGUUGAUUAUGUCCUCCCCUAAUUACAUGUAUCCUUUUUAUGUUUAUUCAAUAAAGCUUCUCUAAUACUAUCGAGGUUCAUCAAAAGAAAAUUUUUAAUUAAUUUUCUUUUCUUUGACAGGUAAUGAAAUUCUAAUCUUCAUAGUGAAUAACUUCAAUAAUAGAGUGUAAGAGUAUUAGUAGUUAUGGUUGUUUUUUUAACCUGGAGUCAAGAGCAAUUUAAUAGCAACAAACAAGUCUCUUGUAUUGUAGGCAAAAUUCUUUUCAUUAAUCUUGUUUGUCUACAUGUUCUCCUAUUUUCUCCAUUAAUCUUCGCUCUAGGUUUCAUGCUUCCUCUUUGAUAAAGGAAAAUAUUACUUGCGAAUAUUUCAAUUUGACAUAAGAGACUGUUUUGCCAACCAUUUGAUAAAAUGGAUAUGAGUGGAGCUUUCAAUCAUUACCUCCACCAAAAUCCUUACAACGCCACUUUUAAAUUUUAGUUUUUAAAAUACAUUCAGUUUAAUUUAUAAAAAAUAAAUCCAUUUGUUAAAAUUAAUCUUUUUCUCAUAAAUUUCAACCUAAAAAAUAUAUUUCUUUUAAAUUUUUAAUUAUAAAAUACAUACAAGUUCUAAAUUAUUAUAUUAUUUUCUUCUUAUUAUAUAGUUUAUAUCUCCCUAACUCUAAACUCCUAUAAUUUUUUUAAUUUAAAAUAUAAAUAUAAAAUAUAGAAUGGAGUGGGUAUAAAAAAACUUGUUAAAAGAAUAAUUCAUUUAAGUAUUUAACUGAAUUUAAAUUAAAAUAAAAAAUAAAUUAAUUUAUUUUUUAUUAGUUAAGUAAUUUUCAAUUGAAAAAGAGCUGUAUGCGUAAUAUUAUUGAAAUAUGAUUAAAAUUCUUAUAAAUUAAAUAUUUUCGUAUAAAUACUAGUGAUAAUUACAGAGAAAGGACGAGGAACCAAAGAAAACUUGAAUAUAAAUACUCCAAUGUAAUUUUACACAUGCAAAUUAUGAACCAGUGAUCUUUAGAGCAUCAUAAAAUUAUUUUGACAAAAUUAUUUAUUUUGAAAAAUUGCCAACAAUGUUUAAAGUGGGAUUGAAAAGAUUAUACUACUUAUAUAAGACAUGAUAUCAAUUAGACGGGCCCAGCUACCUUCCACCCGCUGGAAGGUAUAGCUUAUUUUGUCCUCUAUUGUUGUGGGCGUUGGAUAUUUGAGAAGUUGAUCUAACGGUUCUUGUUCGGCAGCGUGAAAUUGAAUUUCAAUUGGCAACCGUUUCAUGAACUUUGCAAGAGACAAUUAUCUACAAAAAUAUUAAAAAAAUAAAACCAAUUUUUCCCUUUCAUCAGCCGCCGCCGCCGCCAUCCACGAACCCUUAAUAUCAUCAUCACCAUCCCAAUCCUUAGUCGCCAUCCACAAGCUCUAACAACCACCAUGACUGCCAUCACAACCACCACUCCUCACAACCCCUAGCCACCACUACAAACAUUCACAAAUUCUAUCCAUCAUUGUCAGUUCACCAGCCUUAUCCUCCAUUGCCGCGGCCUACCAAUCAUCCACAACACCUAACCGUCGUCACCAACAAACUUUCGCCGCCGCUUCCUACAAGGAAGCCUCACCACCCACCGCCGCACACACUCAAAGCCACACCAACCUCCAUACUAUUGCGAAAGAGGCCACAAUGUAGAAAAAUUCCAGCAGAGGAAGGAUGUUUUCCUUCUCCAGCUGACUAUUCCUUUUUAUCCUUUUUUUGUUUUUUAAUUAUUAUAUUACUUUUAGUUAUUUUUAGUUUUUCUUUUAUUUUAUCUAUAUUUUGGUUGUUAGAAUGUUUUUGUUGUUGUUGUUGGCGGCAGUGCAGUUGUAGCUCGUGAUGAUGAUGGUGAUGUUGGUGUCAUUUUAAUCGAGAUUUGUUUCUUUUUACCGGCUACGUCAGUCAUCUUCAUUCACUACAUGUCCAUUUCUAACAUGUUAGAUUUUACUACUUUUUAAUCCAAGAGUUAGACCACAACGAGACAAAAGAUGGUGUACCUUCCAACGAGUGGAAGGUAGUUCGGCCCAAUUUAGACAGAGUCUAUGCAAUAAAAAUUUCAAAUUAAAAAAUAAACCCUUUAUUUUCUUUUAAUCAUAAGUGUGAUCUUAAUUAUUAAAGUCUUUCAAUGUCCAUUACUUAUUCAUUUUUUUAAUUACCUAAAUGACAUUGAAAACUCUACUCAAUAAUAAUUCGUUCAAAUGUUUUCUUUUAAAGUAAUCGGAAAUUGCAAAUGAAACAAAUGCUUGAAAUCACAAACGGCCUAAAAUUAGAUUUUCAUUUUUCAAUGUUGCAGUGACAUUGAUCUUGAUAUUGAAAUUUUAUUUGUAACUUAUAUAAAGGCCUCAAUUUUAUCAUAAUUGGUUAGUAAGGCUACGUAGGGAGCAUAGUCUGUUAGGACUAGCAACUUAGUCUAAAAUUAUUGAAAUUAUUAAUAUUUUAUACUAUAAUCUUUUCAUUCCCACUUUAAAUAUUAUUGGUAACUUAAAUCAUUUUUAAAAAUUAAAUAUAAAAAUUAAUUUAAUUAAAUAUAAAAAUCAUUUAAAUUAAAUAUUAACAUUAAUUUCAUAAUUUUUUUACCUAGAAUUUUAUACUAUAUUAAAUACUAAAAUUAUAUUCGAUAAUGUAUUAUCAUUUAUUUAAUAAAUGUUUAGGUUUUAGUAUGUUAUAUUAUUAUUUAAAUUAAUUUUGUAAUUUUAAUAUGGGCAAAUUAGAUAGUCCAGUGAACAAGAGACUGAUUCCCAACCAUCCUAAGAAUUAGUCCCUCAUUUUUUAUUUCUAAUUGGAUGUGGGUCCAGUUAUUUUGAUUUCUCUUGCAUUGAAUGAAUGGAUGAGUGCUAAUCCAUGCAAAGACUUCCAUGCAUACACAAUGAAUGCUUCAUCAAAGGUCUGGUAAAAUGUCAGCACGCUUGUUCAUCCGGAUUUUGGACCAUUUUCAUUGACAAUGAGAAAAGCUGCAAGAUCUGUAAAUCGGAAACUCAUUGAGGUGCCAAAAGAGAGAUGGAAGUGAAUUACUAGAGAGUUAGCGAAAAGAGGGUGCAGUGAUUGUGUGGGAAGCUUUGGGUAUACUUGGGGUUUGGAUGUGAGAUAAAAUAAUUUGAGAGAGAGGUUGUAACAAUUUUUCGGUAAUAGAGUUUUUCAGGUAAUUCUUGUGUUGUGUGAUUGGAGUAUUCUCUAUUGUAUUUUUUUUAUUUGUUAUUUAUUUGACGUAUUGCUAGCGGAGAUCUUGGGUGGGAACCAAAAAUUCCCAACAAUUGUCAAUUGUUUUAAACUCUAUUUCGAACAGAGCAUGAAGGGAUUCACUUAUCUGAUUAUGUCUUUUAUGCUUUAACUUCACUUGAUUUCAUCUUGUCUGUCACCUUUAUUAAAGUUGUAUAUGUUGGAGUAUUAGGUUCAUCACAAGGAUCAUAUUAUGGCUAAGGAAGGGGCACAGUUUAUCAGCUGCACUCAAGUGUAGCAGAGUAUUUGGAUUCAAGACUGUUAGAAGGUUGUUACAAUGCAAGGCUGUUGCUGUGUAACUGUAUGCCAUUCUCGCAAGUGCACUCUUAACAGAUUGCUGAGCUGGCACCGGAUGUUUUUAGCUAAUAUUAGUUAUUGGUCUAGAGUGUUCUGAUUUAUUCUAUAAAUAGCUCAUUUGAGCUUAGAACCUUUAUAGUGUAUCAUACGAUUCCCUCUCUUCUAUUAAUGAUUUUCUCUAUUCCUUUUUCUUUCACUUUCUCUUCCAUUUUCAUGAUCCCCAAACACCAUCAAUCCAUGAUUUUCUAGAGUAUUAGUUGUCUAUUUCUACAAACAUAGAAUUGUUGUUUUAAGAAACAAAGUACUCUGUCCUGUCACCCGCGGUAUCCUUGUUUAUCGACUUGUGAACAGGGCUAAAUAAACGGCAAAUAAGAUAUUGGGUCAAUGGGUCUAACGUGAAUCGAGGGGGCUUGGCUUGUACCAGGCUCUAAAAGAGUUUUCUACGAGCGAGCAGUCUUUCUAUCCUUUUUUUGGGGUUGCAUGCCUUAUAUUGAAUUAUUGCCCUUUUCUUUUCUCCACAAAUCUUUGGUUAAUUUUUUAGGUUCCCUCAACUUUUUUCCCCUUUAGCACUAAAAUUCAUAUUUGAUACUUUAUGCAAAAAUUAUGAUGAAAAUGAGUCACUUUAGAACAUCAAGAAAUUUUUAUUUUUACAUCCAAGAUAACGACAGUUACACUUAGAUCACUCUCAUUUAGUUGAAUUAUAUAGGUAAUAAAGUUGGCUUAACAAAAUAUGAUUCUUAACUGUUGUAAUUAAGGGCUAGUAUUCUUUGGUUUUAGUUGUAGGGCUCAUAAUGCCAUGGCUCAGUUCUUGGUGGGUUCGAAUUAUUAGACGAUCAUUCUCAAUUCUUUACGAUUCGUAAUUAAAAAUUCCUAUAUCACAAUUAGAACUUACAAACAAGUCAAAGUGGGUUAAAUCAUAUGUAUAAAUUCGAGGUCUAUUACAAACUUUUAAAAAAGAUUUUCUCUGUUUUUUUUUUCUUUCACCUUCUCUUCCAUUUUCUCAAUCCCCAAACACCACCAAUCCCUGAUUUUUUUAGUAUUAGCUGUCUAUUUCUACAAACAAGUUCUUGAAUUGAAUGGCUCCUCUUUUAUCCAUAGAUCUUUGCUUAAUAUUUUUGUUCCCUCAACCUUUUUCGGCCCUUUGCUCUAAAAUUCUUUUUUGAUACAUUACGCAAAAAUUAUGAUGAAAAUAAGUUACUUUAGAACAUCAAUAAAAUUUUAUUACAUCUAAGAUAAGACAAUUAUACUUAGAUUACUCUUAUUUAGUUGAAUUAUAUGUAAGAAAAUUAGUUCAAUAAAAUAUAAUCCGUAAAUAUUCCUUAUCACAUGAUUAACGUACUUAAAAAUUCUUAACUGAUCGGUCGCUUGUUUUACAAUUCUUUUAUAUAUCUUUGAAACUUUCAGCUUCCCAACACAUCAUAUUGUUCUCAAUUCGUCUAAUUUUUUUUUUUUCAAACACUGCAGCAACAACCAGUAUAAAAUAGUAUAAACUCAUUUAAUGGAAAUUUUCCUAGAUGCUUUCAUGGCAGAAUCUCAUUGGUCUAUUUCUCUUCGCAUCUUAGGUUCCUCUAACAAACCGGCCUCUUAACUCUCAUGUCCGAAUUUAAACUUAAAAGAUGUUCCCCGUCCCACGUGUCCCCAAAUCUUUGUAUUUCCAAACAAACCCCUGCCAACUAAGUCAAGUGAUAGGAUGGCUUUUAUUAUUUUUAAUCUCAUAUAUGAACGUUAUGGCCAUGGGACAUUGGAUAAAACUAAGUAAAGUGAUAGUGAUAGGAUGUCCCACUGUAUGAACGUUAUGGCCAUGGGACAUUGGAUAAAACUAAUGGAAUGUAAAGCAAAAUUACCGAUUAAACUAAAUUGAAAAUCCAACCAAUUGAAUCGGUUCAGUGUCACUCAAAAUAUGUGUGUGGUGGUGUGUGUAAAACAACACAAUUAUCAUAUUAAUGAGGCACUGUUAAAUUCAUUCAGCGAAUAUUUUUCUUUUUCAUUUUCAAUGAAUGCUUAAUAUGACAAACAAUCUGUCCCAUUGAGCACUGUUUAAGUCAUUCAAUGAAAAUGAAUACUUCUAUAACAAAACAAUAAUUCCCUUAUUUAUUUGAGACGCAAAGAACUUUCUUGCUCAGCUCGGCGGCCAAUCCUUUAAAUUUGUUAAAAUUCAGUUAAUUGAUGAACGAGAUAUAACCCAAUAAAUUGUUUAAUUUGUAUAAUUGAUAAAAAUUUGAACUUCAAAUAAUAUAGAUAGAAUGAUUAAUUUUUUUCAUAUUUAGAUAAUUGAUAUAUGUCAUGUUACUAUGAGUAAAAGAAUGAAGUGUAUGAUAGAAAACAUAAUGUUUAUGUUUGUAUUAAAAAUUUUAAGUGCAAAUCUAUUUAGUGUAGGUUAGACAUAGAAAUAGUUACCAACUUGUCUUGUUUCUCAUUUUGUUUAAUUUUCCUAAUUUGAAUAACUAUUAAUUAUGAGUCAAGGGUUUAUUGCGAAAAUAUGGUCUUCCAUUUACUAUAAAAAGAUUAGCGUGAUUUAAUUAUUUUUCUUUUUGCUUGGUGUCUGUAAAAUUAUGAAUACUUUGGUAAAUAAGAUAAUUAUAAAUACUAUUUUGAAAAUCCAUGGCCAUGGUUGUGAUGUAUCUUUAUCAAUCACGGAUACAAAAAUUAAUCAAAAUUAUCGAUUGUUUUAAAUUCUGUUUUUAACAAAGCAUGAAGAUGUUACUUAUCUAGAUUUAAUUUUUAUGCUUUCACUUCACUUAAUACAGCUUCUUCGCAGCAAGCAGAAGCGCUAUUGGUGACGAGAGGGAGAUCAACGGAACGCGGCCCCAGUGGGAGUCAAAAUCAGGGUAGAUCAAAAUCCAGAAGUAAGAAGAAUGUUAAAUGCUACAAAUGUGGCAAGAAAGGGCACGUCAAGAAAGAAUGUUGGAGUAACCAGAAGAGAAAAGAAGGCAAAGAAACUGAGUCAUCAAAUGCUCAGGGUUGUGUAGCAAGUACCUCGGAUGAUGGCGAAAUUCUUUACAGCUAGGCAACAACUGUUUCAGAAGGCAGAAAACGACUUUCUGAUGUCUGGCUUAUAGACUCAGGAGCUACCUGGCACAUGACCUCUAGGAGAGAAUGGUUCCACACAUAUGAACCUAUCUCAGGAGGAUCUGUAUAUAUGGGAGAUGAUCAUGCCUUGGAGAUCGCUGGUAUUGGUACUAUCAAAAUAAAAAUGUUUGAUGGUACAAUUCGCACAAUUGGAGAGGUACGACAUGUCAAUGGCCUGAAGAAAAAUCUAUUGUCUUUGGGACAAAUGGAUAGUCAUGGGUACAAAACUCAUGUGGAGAAUGGAAUUAUGAAGAUUGUUAAAGGCGCGCUUGUAUUGAUGAAGGCAGAAAAGAUCGGUGCUAAUCUAUUCAUGCUUAAAGGAGAAACACUACAGGAGGCUGAUGCGUGUGUCGCGUCAAAUGGAGAAGAAUCAACAAUGAUGUGGCAUCUCAAACUUGGUCACAUGUCAGAACAAGGUUUGAAGAUUCUCUCUGAGCGAAAAUUGCUUCCGGGGCUUAAAUCGGUAAGUUUACCAUUUUGCAAGCAUUGUGUUACAAGUAAGCAGCAUAGAUUAAAAUGAAGUAUUAUUUUCGACGAGGCGCCACCUAAUCAUUCGUUUUCUGGGUGAACAUAUUAUUUUCGCCAUCAUCUCUAUAACAAUGAAGUGAAAAUAGUUCUCAUUUAAAGUAUUGACAGCAAUGUUAUACUCAAUAUAACGUAUAAAGCACGCAUAAUUUAAUUAAUGGGGCAGCUGCUAGUACCUUCUUUAGAAGAGAAUUAUUGCGGCAAGGUAAUUGGAAGCUCAAAGAGUUUCCGUAUUAGCCGAAUCUAAGCGAUAAGUGUUUCCAUGUGAGCCAUAAUUUGCGAAAAAGACCAAUUCGAGUUAAAGAUCAGAAAACAAACACUGUCAACGAGCAUUAAUGUCAUUUGAUGCAUGAAAGACAAUUAGUCCCAUUUUUUGUCCUGUUUACUUGACUUGGGCAAUUUGCCGUCAACUUUUAUCAUCCACGUCAGGUAAUGUGGCUUUUAUUUGGUAUGAAAAAGCUAAUGCUUUACGAUAAAACUAUCACACACAUAUUUAUCCAUAUGUAAUGUUCAAAUGACACUCAAGUAUUGCCCAAAUUAGCCUUUUAAAAAUUCAUUUUCAAAAACCCAUGGUUGUGAUGUGUCUCUAUAAUUAAGAUCUAUCUGUUACCAACUGUUUUAACUAUGUUCUAAACAGAGCUUGAAAGGGUACAUUCACUUAUCUAGUUAUGUUUUUUAGGCUCUCACUUCUCACUUUACUUGAUUCACCUUAUCCCUCUUUUGAAACAAUUGUAUAUGUUGGGGUAUCAAGUGCAUCACAUCGAUCAUAAUCAUAUUAUUCACCUUAUCCGUCUUUUUAACAGACUGUUGAGAUGGCACCAAAGAUUGUAAAGUAAUUAGUACUGGAAAAUCAUGAGUUUGAUGAUGAAGAGGACGAAAAAUAUUAUUUUAUUAUUUAAAAUAAGACUAUCAAUUAUUUCCAUGGUCAUCUUGUUGUCCUCUUGAUCUUCAUAACAUCCAUAUUAAAUUACUGAGAAAUACGAAAGCGGAAGCGUACCUGAAUCCAUGAUGAUUCGUAGUGGUUCUUGAGUGUAGGAGACGGACUUCCAAUCUUCUCUUUCUCUUGAGUUUAGAAUUCUCUUUGAGAGGAUUAGAGAAUUGCAAAGGAUUAAAGAGAUUGGGGACCAUAACCCCUUUUAUAUAAAUAUCGUGACUAUUGGUAUUCUUUUAGAAAACCCAACAGUCACGUUAUUUAUGAUAAUAAUUAUCACUUCAGCCCCUCAUUAAAGUGAUGAUUAAAUUCUGGUAUCUAUGCAUUUAAUCCACAACAAUUAUACUCUUAGCCAUUUAAUUACCUUCAAAUAGAUCAUUUAAUUCUUGGCUUAUUAAAUAAUAGCACACACAUUUUAUUUAUUUCAUGUGUGGCCCCAAAUAUAUUAGAUUAAUAUAAAAUUGAUCUAACACAUCUUACUUUUUUUUUAUUAUUAAUUGGCCUAAAUAUUGUAUUUUUUGUCAGGAGUCUUGCAAUGCUGCGUAGCACCGUAAGUAAGAAGAAACGUGUCUAAGGUUGCCACGUGUAGUCUCAACAUGUGUGUGAAAACUGAAUUAACCAGUUUGCGUUCGACAACAAAGGAAAAUGCUUCUUGUUGCUGACCGAUUGCUAAGUAUUUCAAUACCUCCACCAAAAUCUUUAUAACACCCUUUUUAAUUUUAUUUUCUGAAAUACACUUAAUUUUUUAAAAAAAGAGCUUUAUGAGAAAUUUUCAAUCUGUCAAAAGGCCUACUUAAUGGACUGGAUCCCGACUCAUUAAUUUUAUAACCCGACUUACAAUCCGACUCAUUAUUCACAGAGAUUAAUUUGCUAUUGCUUAAGGUACAAUAUUUACUAAGCAAUUUAUCGGCAAUAAAACAUGUAUAUUAUAGUGGUUUGUAAUAAAAUUGGAAGAAGACAUCACGUACGAAUUGGAUUUAUCUCAUGAAAUUUGAUUAACGAAAGUGUAUGAAAAUAUAUAAAGAAAAUAGUAAAAAAAAUGUUGUGUAAAUGCUGUAUAGGUGAUAUAUUACUUUUAUAAUCCAUCAAGGUACAUUUGACUUUAAUGAUGAAACAAAUACAAAUAAAUCCAUGUACGUCAAUGCUAGAUGGCUCCAUAUUAAACUUGUGAAGUAUAGAAAAUAAGCGAGAUUCGUAAAAAAUAUUUUAGAUAAUACCACUGAAAAGUUAUAAAAAUAUUUUUUUAAGAAAAGAAAUACAUACUCGAGACACCAAGACCAACACGCACAAACUCACACAUUGACAUAUUAAUUGAGGGGAAAAUGAUAUUCUGAGUAAUAUUGUUGACAUAUGAUUAAAAUUCUUUUUAAUGAAACAUUUUCGCAUAAAUACUAGUGAUGUUUGUAGAGAAAGUAGAAUGAAGUGAAAAAAAUUUGAACAUAAAUGCUCCAAUAUAAUUUCGCCCAUGCAAAUUAUGAACUAGUGAAACUUUAAAUCAUCAUAAAAUUGUUUCCACAUAAGUAAUUAGUUUGAAAAAUUGCCAAUAAUGUUUAAAGUGGGAACGAAAAGAUUAUUCUAUAUGAGACACGAUAUUAUUUAAGACAGCUUACAAAUUAUGGGAAAUGUAUUGAUCUUACAAAUAAUAUUUAAUAAGUACAAAUUUCAAAUUAAAUAAUAAACCCUUGAUUUCCUUUUCAUCAGAAUUAUGAUCUUAAUAAUUAAAGUCAUUCAAUCUUAAUCACUUUUUCAUUUUUUUAAACUAUCUAAAUGACAUUGAAAACUUUACUCAAUAUUAAUUUAUUCGAAUGUUCUGUUUCAAAAUAAUUGAAAACUGUAAAUGAAACAAAUGCUUGCAAUCACAAAUGGCCUAAAAUGGGAUUUUUAUUUUUUAAUAUUGCAAUGACUUUGAUCUUGAUAUUGGAAAUUUAUUUGUAACUUAUACUAAGUCUUCAAUUUUAUCAAAAUUAGUUUCUAGAGAUGCAUUUGCCAUAAUGUGUAGUUGUAUUGUAUGAUGAUAUAUUACAUUAGGGUGCAUUGUAUUGAGCUGUAAUGCAAUACUAUUUUAUAUUAAUGUUAAAACUAAAUCAACCUUAUUUAAAUUUAUUAAUAUUUUAGGGUUUUAUUAGUAAUAUCUGAAAUUAAGUAUUAAAUAAUUAUUUUUAUAAUAUACAAAUUAUUUAAUAAUAUUCUACUAUUAAAUAAUAAAAUAUUACAAUAUUAUGUUAUAUUAUUAACAAUUAUUCUGUUAUAAUAUAAUUUAUUUUUAUAUAUUAGUUAUUAUAAUUCACUAACACGAAUUAAUUUCUACCAACAUUACCGAAUGAUUGUAUCGAUUUUUAAGCACGUAAACAUACCAGCUUUCUUUCUUUUACUCUCUAUUUCAUGUUUAUUCAAUUUCAAUCUUCUGCAAGUUUUUGGCUGUUUUAUUAGUUACAAAAUUCUCUAGGAUUGCAUGUAGAUUAUGGUUUUACGUGCAUUUUUUCUUCUUUUUUUUUUUUUUUUUGGGUAAACAUAUUAUUUUAUCAUCUAUCACUAUAAGAAUGAAAUGGAAAUAGUUCUCAUUUAAAGUAUUGACAGCAAUGUUAUACUCAACAUAACGUAUAAAGCACGCAUAAUUUAAUAAGGUUCUGUUUGGGAUUGAGGUGUUAUACUUUUUAAGUUACAGCUGCUGUGAAAAAAAAUUGUAACUCUAGAACAAAAGUUAAUAACAUUUAGUAAAUAUAAAUUUUAAAUAAUAAUUUUGAAAAAAUUAUUAAAGAUAUAAAGAUUUCCAUCAUAUAAGUGAAAAAUCAUAUCAACAUAGCUUCCAAGCUACAGCACUUAGUAUUUACCAAAUAUUCUAGUGCUGUACUUUUAAGUUACAACUGUCCAACCUCAAUCACAAACACACUCUAAAUGGGGUUGCUAAUAUCUUCUUUAAAAGAGAGUUAUCGCAGCCGCGUAAUUGGAAGCUCAAAGGGUUUCCAUAUUAGCCGAACCUAAGUGAUAAGUGUUUACAUAUGAGCCACAAUUUGGGGAAAAAAACAAUUCAAAGUUAAAGAUAAGAAAAGUGUGUCCCGGACGAAUACAAUAAUUCAAGCCACAGAUUUAUCAAACGCAUGGCAGAGACGCUUCAACAUGUUGUCUCAUGGAAAGAGAUCCUUCAGUCUUUGGCGUAAUACUUGGGGAAACGUAAAUUGACUUUACAUUAAAACAAAACAAAACAAACACUGUCGACAAACAUUAAUGUCAUGUAGUUAAGAAAAACUUACUUUAUCUUCGAUAAGUGCAAGAGAGGGGUGGGACAGUUGGACUCAUUUGAUGCAUGAAAGACAAUUAGUCCCAUUUUCUGUCUUGUUUACCUGACUUGGGCGAUUUGCCGUCAACUUUUCUCAUCUACGUCAGGUAAUAUGGCUUUUAUUUGAUAUGAAAAAGCCAAAACUUCGAUGAGCGGGACAUCACUGAUUUGUAUAAUUUUCAGGACUAGAAAAUUAUCUCAAUUUCAAAAUAUAUAAUUACAAUUAUCGAACACCACUAAUUCCAACAAUUUAUCCAAAGAUAUUUUUGAGCUUCAAGGAAUGUAACACUUAUGGUAGAAUGGUCAAAAUUUUCAACUUUUUAGAUAUUUGAUAUAUGCCAUGUUCUAACUUACAAUCAGAAUAAAAUUAUAGUAUAAUUUUUUUAAAUUAGUGGAAUUAUUUUACGAUAAAACUAUCACAAUAAAAUUUAAAUAUAAAGUUAUUCUUUAAUUUUUCACUACUAUUACUGAUAUUCUUAAACUCUUUGCUGAAUGGAGCAUGAAAGGACUACUUAUCUAGAUACGUUUUUUAUGCUUUCACUUCGCUUGAGCUUAGAACUUACAACUCGUAUUUUACGUUUCUCUUACUUUCUCUUCCAUUUUCCCGACACCCAAACACCAUCAAUCCUUGAUGUUGUAGAGUAUUGGCUGUCUAGUUCUACAAACAUGGACCUACUGUUAGUGCUUUAGAUCUUCAGACGGUUAGCUAACUAUUAUUUGAAUAUUAAAAUUAAUUUGUUAAAUAAAUAAAGAAAACAAGAGACAACUGCCAUAUCUAUUCCAUAUUAAUUAGUCACCGUCCCACUGACUCUGUCGAUUCACGCUUUGAUGAAGUGAAACGCUUAACGCACUAUUGUGAUGCGCAGGAGAGGAGGAAAACACAAUUUUAUUAUUGCAAUCCUGACACGCACAAAGAGCUUUCUUACAGGGCUUGGCAGCUAAUUCUUUAAAAUUUGUUAAAAUUCAUUUAAUUGAUGAAUGUGACAUAAAUCUCUAUAAAUAGUUUAAUUUGUAAAAUUGUUAAAAAUUUAAAAUUCAACUAGGGGUAGAUAAAAUGAUUAAUUUUCUCAAUAAUUAGAUAAUUGAUAUAUGUCAUGUUAUUAGGAGUGAAUGAAUGAAAUUUUCAAUAGAAAACACAAUGCUUGUAUUAACAAUUUUAAGUGCGAAUCUAUUUAGCGUAGGUUGUCCAUAAAAGUAGUUGCCGACUUGUCUUGUUUCUCAUUUUAUUUAAUUUUCAUAAAUUGGACUCACAAUCAAUUAUGAGUGAAGAGUUUGUUGGAAAAAUCUGCUCUUCCAUUUAUUGUAAUCAGAUGAGUGUAAUUUAAUCCUUUUUUUUUCUUUUGCUUGAUGUCCUGAAAAUUAUGAAUGGUUUGUACUACAAGAAAAACUAGAUAUAGCAACGAGUAUUUUACGUUUCUAAAACCAUUAACAACAUGCAUCCGCGUGCUGUGGAUCAAGAUGUUGUCUUUGGGUAAGUUACUUCUAACAAUAGCAAGACGCGUUGUUAAAACUCACGCGCUUGUAGUUAAAAAUGCUUUAAACAACGCAAAAUUUCUUUUAACAACAUGCAGUAUGAUCGUCGUGAAUUGUGUUACUUUAUUUUAUUUAUUUUAUAUCCACAUUUUGCUUACAAAAUCCUUUUAUUUAUUUUUUCCAAUAUUUCUUUUUUUUAAUAAAUAUUAAAAACUUACAGCUACAAACAAACUACUAAUUGAAUACAAAAAUUAUAGUUCAUAAAAAAAAUAGCAAUAAAUUUAUUUGAUAAUCACUACAAUUAAAACAAUUUAUAUUACAAAAUUCAAUACUCUCACAAAGAUAUCAUCAUUACAGUGAUCUCUUCAUCACAUACAAAGGCUUUGGAUGGAGCUUCUGAAUGCUGAUAACACCCAAAGCCUGCUUCAUAUAUCAUGUCAUUAGCAAUAAAAUCAAAUCUCCUAGACAAACAAAAUCAAGAUGAAUCGAAAUAUAUAGCCUAGCAAAUGAAAUUUCAAUUCACUCUCAAUAGAAUGAACUUUCUAAGAACUUAUCUUGUCCUAUUAUUAAAAUUAUAAAUUUUACAUAAAAUGAAAAGUUAAUUAUUGGCUAAAAAAUGAUACAUAAAAUGACCGUCCAAUUAAAUUGCAAGUGGGCAUUCCUACCAUUCUUGUCUCAUGCUUGUUAUAUUUAAAUUUACAAAUCACACCAUGUCAGUAUGGUGAUGAUGUAAAAUUGUUUCACCAAAUUUUUUAUCUUGAUAAUCUUGGUUAUAGAAAAAAUAUUGGGCGCUCCCAGUGGAUGCUUCUAUUGAGUGGCAGAAUCAGCAUUUUAUUUCGAUGGUAGCCAUAAUAAUUAAACUAUAAACUUAAGUUGAUUGUGAAAUAAAAUCAACGUUGUAAAUACUGCGUCCACAUUUUAUAUACAAACAUAUAUAUAUACAUACAUACAUACAUACAUAUAUAUAUAUGUAUGUAUGUAUGUAUGUAUUUUCGUUCAAUUAAUUAUUAUACCAUAUGAUGUAUUCAAUUAAUUAUUAUACCAUAUUAUUGUACAAAUUGAUGAUAAUAUGGUAUAAUAAUUUAUUUUAAUUUAUUUUCUUAAAAGAGAAUUCAUCAAUUUGUACAAUAAUAUGGUAUAAUAAUUAAUUGAACGAAAAUACAUACAUACAUACAUACAUACAUACAUACAUACAUAUAUAUAUAUAUAUAUAUAUAUAUAUAUAUAUAUAUUGUAUAAACUAACAUGGCAACAUAUGAUUGGUUAAUAAAAGAAUAAAUAUAUAUCAAGUGGGUUCUACCAUGUUUUUAAUUCAACUAAUGAUAAUAUGCCACAUCAAUUUGUACAACAAUAUUUGUGACUAUAUCAUUACUCGUUAAUUAAUAUGAACGCUAAUUUAUUUUCUUAAAAGAGAAUUCAUCAAUUUGUACAAUAAUAUUUUCACAAAAAUAUUUGUGACUGUAUCAAUACUCAUUAACUAAUAGACCGCUAUUUUAUUCUUCUUGAAAGAGAAUUACUGCAGCGAGGUUGGAGGCUCAAAGAGUUCUCAUUUAGCCAAACAUAAGAGAUAAGAGUUCACAAGAGACGUAAUUUGGAAAAUCAAUUCUAUCCAAUAGGCGAUAGGUCUCAAUGGAUUCGACUCAGUAUACGAUCAUUUGCGAUUUUUUAACGUCUUGUAAUUACAGAUUCCGAUAUCACAUUAUAAUUUUCAAACAAAUCAAAGUGAGUCAACUCAAAUUUAGAAAUUUGAGGUCUACUUUAAACUUUUGACAUUAAAUUUAAGAUAAUUAAGUAAAUGCUAGACAAAAUCUAACUUGUAAAUAUACCUUACUGCACGAUGAACGUUCUUAAAAAUCUUAACUGAUUGCUCACCAAUUAAUUGUUGUUUUAUAAUUUUGAUAUAUCCUUUCUUUUCCCUAAAACUUCUAGUUUCCUAACAUAUUGUUCUCAAUUGGUCUAAUUAUAAUGUAAUUUUUUUUUAAAUAUUAAAAAAAUGAAUUUAUUUAAUGGAAAUUAAAAAAAAAAAAAAGACACUUAUCUAUGCAAGCAAAGUUGCAUUCUGUUUGUGGGGACCUUAAAAGAAAAAGCAUAAUGAUACACUGAUGACGACAAUCCUUAAGUAUUUGUUUUCUUUAGUUACAGUUUGGUUCGAAUGGUUAAGUUCAAGUUCGAAUUUUCUUUAGUUACAUGUCAUAAGAUACUUUGCUCAAAGCUGCAAUUGGGCAACGCCGUGCUGUUCUUAUCGGCCAAUGCAAGCCAUUUACUAUUCUUUCUAAUGGAGCAAAAUAAGAUGAUUCUUACCUGCAUAGAGAAUUAGAAAAGAAAAGGAGGAUUACUGAUCCACAGAGCUGUCAUUUGCUAGAAGCACAUAAAUCUUACACUUAAUUCAUUAUCCAUAUGUAAUGUUCUAAUGAUACUUAAGUAUUACCUAAAUUAGCCUUUCAAAAUUUCACUUCGAAAAAAUCCAAGGUUGUGAUGUGUCUGUAUAAAUUCGCUAAUACAAGUUCUCUCUAUUCCCAAUUGUUUUAAACUCUGUUCUGAACAGAGCAUGAAAGGAUAUAUUCGUUUAUCUAGUUAUAUUUUUUAUGUUCUCACUUCACUUGAUUCACCUUCUCCAUCUUUUAAAACAGUUGUAUAUGUCGGAGUAUCAAGUUCAUCACAAGGAUCAUAUUAUGGCCAACAUAUACAACUGUUUUAAAAGUGUUAGUAGGUCGUAACACUAUAUGCCAUGCUGGCAAGCGUGCUAUGACUGAUUGCUAUUUGCACGUAAAAUUUGCCCAAAACAAAUAGAAUGAGAAUACUUGUACAAAAGGACGAGAUUAAUAAAGUGAAACCUAAGUGAUAAGAUUAAUGCUUGCCAAACCUAAGUGAUAAUAUGAGAUAUAAUUUGGAAAAAAAAAAAAAAUUCAAGUUAAAGAUAAAAAAUCUAUGUUCCUUAAAAAACAUAAUUCAAGCCACACAAUUUUUCUUGUUUUAUUUGAAAAAAAGAAAAUUGUGUUCCUCACAAAAACACUUUAACAUUUGUUGUCUCAUAGAGGGAAAUGUCCUUCACUCUUUGACGUAUCCCUGGGGCAAUGUAAGUUGACUUAAUUUUGACAAGUGCAAGAGAUUGGUGGGACUCAUUUGAUUCAAUUGAAACGUUGUCCACAAACUCUAUCACAAUCUAAUUUAAAAAAAAAAAGUUAUUCUUUAAAUUUCGCAUUACUAUUCCUACUUUUCUUGUUAUACUACUUAAUAGCACGGGUGAAGCCUCAAAUUAUCAAACAAAAGGCAAAAAUAGUUCAAUAUCUGCUGUCCCACUGAGCAUUGUUAAAUUCAUACGAUAAAAUGAGUACUUAUAUUAAAAAAAUAAUCAGUCUCAUUGCGUGCUCUUUCAUUGACAUAGGCAAUUUGCUGUCAACUUGUGGCAUUUUUAUGAAUUUUCAAGACGGGUGAAUUUUUCAAAUUUAAAAGAAAAAAAUGCAAAAAUGUAAUUUCAAUUUAUCCAAAAAUUUGAGUUUCAAGGAAUACAACAUUUAUUAUAUGUCAUGUUAAUAUAGAGAAGAAAAUUUUAAAAACUUAUUUUUGGAUGAAUAAAAGUAUUUUCUGAUAAAUAUUUCACAAUCAAAUUUAAAAAAUUUCACUCCUCUUGUUACAUAAUUUAAGAAUUUAACAUUAUAAAUUAAUCUUUUUAAUCAAAGUAAUAAUCUCUCCUCGGUCUGCAAAUGCUAAAAUUUAAUAUUAUAUCCAUUGACAAUAUUUGCUCCAAAUUCACGAAAAUAAAAUUUCUAACAGAAUUAUGAAAUUCGCUACUAGAAAUUUGUAUAAAAAUUGUGAGAAUAGAAGGUUUGAUCAUAGGAAAUUAAUAUAUCCCUAUCCAAAAUGAUUGUAAAGAAAAAAAAAAGUCAUGGGCUUAUUUAGAAAAAAAGAAAAAAUUACAUUCCAUUUUCCAGUUAUUAAAGUAAUUCUAAAAUCGCUAGGAUCACAAAGGAUAGGCUUUGGUUGACUGAGGUCAUGCCGGUCUUUUUCUUCUCUACAUUCUUAGAAAUUUUGGUUUCACUAUAAAUACUCGGUAUAUAGCAAACUUAUAAGUGUUCUUGAAUUACCAAUCCAACUAAGCACACGCUUACAAUAUAAAUACUCUCAUCUCAUGGAAAGACUUCAUUCUCUCAGGAUGAUGAGCAGAUUUCUCUUACUCCAUUGUUUGAUUCUUAUUUCCUUAUUUAUCGCGGCAGCAACAGCCAACACAAGUUCUACUAUCACAGACCGAGAUGCUCUGUUAGCCCUGAAAGCUCACAUAACUCAUGAUCCGACCAAUUUCUUGGCUAAGAAUUGGAACACAAGUACUCCUGUCUGUAAUUGGACAGGCGUCGCUUGUGAUGUCCAUAGCCAUAGAGUCACAGUCUUGAAUAUUUCAAGCUUAAAUCUCACGGGCACCAUCCCUUCUCAACUUGGGAAUCUUUCUUCUCUACAAUCACUCAAUCUCAGUUGUAACCGACUUUUUGGUUCCAUUCCCUCCGCCAUCUUCACCAUAUAUACACUGAAAUAUGUUAGUUUACGUGAAAAUCAGGUCUCCGGGCAAAUUCCUGCAAAUAUUUGCAGUAAUCUUCCUUUUCUGGAUUACCUUUCUUUGGGCAAAAACAUGUUUCAUGGAGGAAUACCGUCCGCUCUAUCAAAUUGCACAUAUUUGCAAAUCUUACAUUUGUCAUACAAUGAUUUCUCGGGAGCCGUACCUAAAGACAUCGGUAAUUUGAGCAAACUUAAGGAAUUAUAUCUUGGUCGUAACAGACUCCAAGGUGCGAAUAAUCACGGAGUUUAAUUAUGAAAAUUGUUCCACAAGUUGUAGUAUGAAUAAUGUUCCAUAAGACAAUUUGCACACGUUGAUUAAUUUGCAGGAGAAAUUCCUCGAGAGUUUGUCAACCUUACGGAAUUGGAGCGGAUGUCGUUAUCAGAAAACGAACUCCAAGGUAUGAUUAUGAACUUUUUGCAAUUUUAUUCUAGCCUCUGCUUGCAUCUGUAUUCAUUCGUUUGUUCGUCAAUUAUGCUCCAUGUUUUAUUGUUUUUUCUUUCAGAUAUAGAUAAAGCUCCAUGUCUCGCCUCACUCAUUUCAUUCUUUAAAUUAUGCAGAUAAAAAUUUUUAAAAAAUGUUUUGUAAUUUUCAUUUGUCAUAUUGCCGCUUCCGUUUUGAAGCUCCCAAUUAAGUCGAUGAAAAUGAAUGACGUUUCAUUCUUAUUCUUGUCAGCCUAAUUCUUAUAUAAAUGAAGAGUAAAUUGUUAUUACGAUAUUGGUCAGCCAAUAAAUUCUUCGUUUUUUUCCCCAAAUAUGAGUGAUCAAAUUGUUUGCGCAUAUAUAAAUGUACUUAAUUUGCAGGAGGUAUUCCACGGGAAUUGGGGAAUCUUACAAAAUUGGAGGGGUUACAGCUGUUUCGGAAUAAUUUGACUGGUAACUUUCUUUAGGAUAUAUAUAUAUGAGACAUCUUCCACUUCUUAAUUAAAAGAUUUCAAGUCUCUCAUUAUAAAUUCUCAUAUGAGGAUGUGUCGUUAGCACUAUCUAAUAUUAUUCUAUUUUUUUAUUAGAAAUUAGUUUGUGUUAAUUCAAAAUUCUAUAGCAUUUAAAAAAAAUUAAAAACACGUGGAAUAAAUCGUCGAUCUUUCUUCUUUACUGAAUUUGGAUUUCUCAAAAAUUAUCUCAACAAGUAUGCUUCACUAAUGCUAUGCACGUGUGACAACUUCAUAAAAUAUUUUACGUGGAAUCACUAAUUAUCUUUAAAUAAUUAGAGAUACCAUCAGUGAUACAUAAUUUCUUAACAAGCACCAUACCAAAAGAAAUCAACAAUUUUAUUAAUCUUAAAGAGUUACAUGCCUCUGUAUUAAUUCGUUUGUUCAUUAAUUAUGCUGUGAUUUAUUGUUUUUCUUUCAGAUAGAGAUAAAGCUCCAUCUCUGUCCUCACUCAUUUCAUUCUUUGAUUUAAGCAGAUAAAAAUAAAAAAAAAAUGUUUUGUAAUUUUCUUUUGUCAUAUUACCACUUCCAUUUUGAAGCUUCCAAUUAAGUCGAUGAAAAUGAAUGAUGUUUCAUUCUUAUUCUUGUCAGCCUAAUUCUUAUAUAAAUGAAGAGUAAAUUGUUAUUACGAUAAUCGUCAGCCAAUAAAUUCUUCUUUUUUUUUUGCCCCCAAAUAUGAGUGAUCAAAUUGUUUGCGCAUAUAUAAAUGUACUUAAUUUGCAGGAGGUAUUCCACGGGAAUUGGGGAAUCUUACAAAAUUGGAGAGGUUACAACUGUUCUGGAAUAACUUGACCGGUAGCUUUCUUUACAAUAUAUAUACGAGACAUCUUCCGCUUUUUAUUAGAAAUUAUAUAUUCAAGUUAAAUUAUUCCGUUUAUUAUUAGAAAUUAGUUUGUGUUAAUUCAAAAUUCUGUAGCAUUUAAAAAAAUUAAAAACACGUGGAAUAAAUUGUUAAUCUUUGCUCUUUACUGAAUUUGGACUUCUCAAAAAUAAUCUUGACAAGUAUGUUUCACUAAUGAUAUGCAUGUGUGACAACUUCACAAAAUAUUUUACAUGGAAUCACCAAUUAUCUUAAAAUAAUUGGAGAUGCCAUCAGUGAUACAUAAUUUCUUAACAAGCACCAUACCAAAAGAAAUCAACAAUUUUAUUAAUCUUAAAGAGUUACAUCUUCACUGCAAUUAUGACAUAAAUUUUUAGUCAUCAAUCGCAUAAUAUUUUAUCUUAACUGAUGAUGAUGUUCAAUCUUGGAAUUUAUAGUAUCUUGAAGGUUAGUAGCUUUGAAAAUAAGAAAUUGUUCGUUUGCUAAAAAGUUAACUUAGUAUUUAAGUUUUCCAAUUGAAAAUUUUGAAAAAAGCGUUGAGAGCUGGCGCUCCAUAGUAUUUCAGCGGAUAAAUAUGAAAAAUAGGCUAGAAGAAAUUAUUUUACUGAAAUAAGAGUUAAAAAGAUAGGAGAAGUACAGUACUCAUGACUUAGGCUUUCUGUGUGUGCUUAUUCUACUUGGGCUUUGGGCUUGAUUACGCCCGUUAUAAUAAUAGGCUUUUACUUUCACCACACAUGAUGAUUUCUUAACCUUCUCAAUUAGGUUAUAGCAAUUUAUAUAUAAAUAACUAAAGCAUACUAAAGCUAGCUUUGAUGUACGGAUGAGUGGCGUCAAAAGUGUAUCUGUUUUUAUGUAUUAUUUAUUCUCUAAAACAUAUCUGAAUACAAUUCUUUCAAAAUACCGAGGAACUAGCACAGGAAAUCGGAAAUAUUUUAUUGCGAUGAGAAUUCGUAUAUUCAUUGUAGUAGAACAUAUAAAAUAGAUUAUAAAUUUAUUAUUCUUUGAAACAAACCUGAUUAUAAUUCCUUCAAAAUUAAGUUUGUCAUUAAAUGAUUUCUCAGGAGCCAUACCAAAAGAAAUCGGGAAUUUGACCAAACUCAAGGAAUUAUCUCUUGACGGUAACAGGCUCCAAGGUGCGCAUGAUCACAGAGUUUAAUUAUGAAAAUUGUUGCAUAAGUUAUAUGGAUAUCCUUGAUAACCGCAGCAAGCAAACGAAAUCAAAUAAAAGCUAACUGAGACUCGAAUAUCCUAAACCCUGAAAAGGAAUGGUAAUGGUAUAAUAUGGAUUCUGUAGGCAUAUUUCACUGGACUCAACAUUUAUGGUUAAUUUACAACUCUUUGUUGGAAAGUCUGAGAAAUUGCUUUAUAUUAGGGGUGGGGAAAAUAAUGCUGGGCCACGAAUUUCAGGCAGAAUCCAGAUGGGGCCCUAUUAGACUUAUAGCUCAGCUCUGUGUCGAUAUCUGGGCCUUUACAAAUAAUUAAUGGGCCAAUUAAUAAUAAUAAAUAAAUUGAGAAGGGUGUGAGUGAAAUUAGAUAUGAAUGAAUCUGCCAGUGUAUGUACACAUUUUUCUAAUUAAUGCGUUAUGAGCCUGCCGCUGCUGGAAAUUAAAAAAUUUAAAUAUUUUAUAAUAUGGUAAUUAUUUUAUUUUAAGUCUCUAAUUUUUAAUUUAUUGAAAUCAUAUUUUUAUAUCUACUAUAAAAUAAGUAAAUGGGGAAUGGGGUGGGGAUGGGGGAAUCAUUCCCCACGUGGGGAUUCCUCAUCCCCAACUCACUAAAUUUAUUGGGGAAUGGGGUGAGGAAUGGAGGCAAAAAUUUUUAAUGGGAUGGGAAAUGGGGUAGGCAUCCCCACCCCCACCCCGCCCCAUUGCCAUCCCUAGCGUUAUGAGCCUGCCGCUGCCAGCAUGGAAAUUACAGCAACUAAGAAGAGAAUUGACCCAUUAAUUAAAUUAAAAAGAACACUGAAUAUAUAAGCAGUCAAAAUAUAGGUGAAGUAGGCAUGAAUUGUCACAUAACUAACUUUGAGAGUAAAACCGUGACUUGGGUUUGAAUGUUUGAUUAAGUUACUUCUAUUUCAAGUUGCUUAUUUUGCGUGGGCUUCCGGCUUAAUUACACACGGUCGAACACUUACACAGUUCCCCAGACAUAGGCUUUCACUUUUCACCACACAUUUGAUAAUUUCUUAGCCUUCCCAAUUAGAUUAUAGCAAUUUAUAUAUAAAUAACUAAAGCAUACAAAAGCCACCAUUGAUGUACGGAUGAGUGGUGUGAAAAGUGUAUCUUGUUUUAUUUAUUAUUGUUCUAUGAUACAAAUCUGAAUAAUGGAAUAUAAUGCUUUGAAAAUACCGAUGAAAUAGCACAUGAAAUCAGAAAAUAUUUUACUGCAAUAAGAAUUCAUAUAUUCAUUGUAGUAGCACAUAUAAAAUAGACUAUAAAUUUAAUUUUAAAAUACAUUCUUAUCUUCAUAUAAAUUUUACAUUACUAAUUUAAAUUAACAUUAAAAUAUGUUGUUUCUUUCACUAUGUUAUUUUAUUUACACAAUGAUGUGACUAUUGGAAUUAAUAAUACUUAUAAUUAUUUUGUAAAAAUAUAAAUUUAAUACUUUGUUAACAUUUUAUCUACAUAUAAUAAUUAAACUGAAACUUGUAUUUAAAAAACACUAGUUACGCAUAUUCAUUUCAUGACAUAAAAAUGUAUAUUUAUGCUAAUUUACCGGUAUCAACAAAAUGCUUUGAGACAAAUAAUCUAAUUUAUAUUUGUAUAUUUAAAAACUUGCAUUUAUUAUAUUUUGAAAAAAAUUUAUUUGCAAUUAUUUUAAACCGUUGGAAGUUGGAUUCAAAUUUUUGUAGUUAUUAAAGUCAAAGGGUAUAAAUGUGUAAUAGUCAAAAACAGAUUUGUAUGAUCAUUUUUCAAUGUAUAAAUUUUCUUAGUUAGUAGGAAAAUUGGAAAUUGUUGAUUUACUCAUAAAUAAAUUUAAUGUUUAGCAUUUCAAUUUUGGAAAACUUGACCCACGGACCCAUUGAAAGUUUUAUUCGAAUUGAGUUUCCCGGUGCUUACUCAUUUUAUUUACAAAUGAGUUGAUUAGCAUCGAAGUUACUUGAGAGUCUGAGACCAUGCUAGUAGGAGAAAUUUGAAAAGAAAUUAUUUUACUGAAUUAAUUUAUUUUAUCUUGUUGUAACUGAAAUACUACUUUUUUUUUGGGCUGUCACUGGGGCUUGAUUUACUUUAAUAGUAGCAGCCACCGACUUAGGCGUUUUUUACUUCUCACCAGACAAUUUGAUCUUUUAAUUCGUUUUAACCACAUAAUCUAUCUAUUUCUCACCUAUUGCUUACUUAAAUCGCAUACAUAUUUUACCUACUAAUUUUUAUAAAUAUUAGUCAAAUAUAUUUUAUUACGUUUCUCUCGUAACUGCUCCAAAUGUGUACUAUUAAUACUUAACCCUCCCUUUUAAUUUACUGUGCAAUCUAUCUAUCACUUAAGUCACAUAUAUAUAUUUUACCUAGAUUUUAACCCAAAAAAUAUAAAAAUAAAAGAAAAAGAAUAUGUGUAGCAAUUUGCAUAUAACUAACAAAGCAUUGAUGGCGUGUAGCCUUUCAAUACUUCACGAGUGGCUUUUCUUGUGUGUUAGUACUUGUAAUAAUUGUGUAGCGUAUAAAUGACAUUUUAUUAUUAAAGUGCGUCCAUUUUUAGA
RNAcentral lists this long non-coding RNA (59954 nucleotides) under Citrus maxima (pomelo). RNAcentral's name for it is "long non-coding RNA (CMAX_LNC000181)". The record is from RNAcentral. Lineage: Eukaryota; Viridiplantae; Streptophyta; Magnoliopsida; Sapindales; Rutaceae.